AAGCCUCAAAAUGCAAAUCACAUCCUUGUUAGUGUUGUUCGUGGGAGUAGUUGUUUUAGCCACUCCCUCUUUCGCAGAUUACUACAAACCGCCUAAGUAUGAGCCUAAGCCACCUUAUUUCAAGCCUCCUAAGGUAGAGAAGCCAUUCCCAGAACACAAGCCUCCAGUCUACAAGCCACCAAAGAUUGAGAAGCCACCAGUCUACAAGCCACCACCAGUCUACAAGCCACCAAUUGAGAAGCCACCAGUCUACAAGCCACCACCAGUCUACAAGCCACCAAUUGAGAAGCCACCAGUCUACAAGCCACCACCAGUCUACAAGCCACCAAUUGAGAAGCCACCAGUCUACAAGCCACCACCAGUCUACAAGCCACCAAUUGAGAAGCCACCAGUCUACAAGCCACCAAUUGAGAAGCCACCAGUCUACAAGCCUCCAAAGAUUGAGAAGCCACCACCCUUUCACAAGCCAUUGCCACCUUAUGGUCACUAUCCGGGACACCCUCCAGUUGAAAAUGCGGAAUAUAUCAAGCCAAAAAACUGAAUUAAACUUUUUAUAUAUAGAUAUGCAGGAGUACUAUUAGUAGCUGAGAAUAAGUGCCAUGGCUGAAGCUCAUUCAUUAGGCUUUCUAGUGCGUUUUCUAUAUCGAUCAGUUGCACACUGCAAGUGAGGAAAGCUCUCGUUGAAACGUCUCUUCUUUUUUCUUGUAAUUGAUGAGCAUAUCCUAAACUUUAUUAUGUAAACCAGUGGACUUCAUUUGCUGGAAUAUUUAUGAAUAUAUUUGAUCUUGUGUAUGUGGUGCGAGCGUACGACGUGGUUUUGAAUGUUUAAAACAUCUUCAAAUAUUAAUCGCUCACUGGUGAAAUUAAUCCAUGUUAAUUAGUAAGUGGUUAUCCUUCCCUCAUUUCAACCAAUACAUGUGCUUCUAACCUCAAGCGUCAAGAAUUAUCAACUCAAUGACUGUCAGCAUGUGUAUUGCUUGUUAUAUUACCAGUAACGUUAUAUAAAACACACUGCAGAGAUCAAAUCUAACGUUUUCUAGUUCUUGAGAAUAUGUUGAUCACGAAUAUAUAGUUGUAAUCGUGCGAGAGAUUUCCAUUGCAAGAUGAUAUAAAAAAUAUUAAAAAUUGUUAUAAAACCAUCCCCCCUCGUUUAAUAAAUUAAACUCCUAAUUCGAGAAGUUUCUUAAUGCAAUAUUGAAGUUUCAUUGACGAAAUGGUCUUGAGGGGAAUCCUAACACUCCUACUAUUUCUAAUUAAAAUUAGCAGAAGUUAAAAAAAUAUAUAUUAAAGAAUUAAUAUAGAAAUAAAAGAAAAUACAAGACACAUCUUAAUGCAAGCGGAUUUUGGGAAGUACUCGGUAGUCAUGAACUAAAAUUUAAUUAAACAGUAACUACAAAGCUAGUGCCAAAUUAAUACAUGUAUACAUUAACUUGGGGGUAACGAUGACAUUGUUAUUCACAGAAAAAAAAGUUUCAUUUAUCUUAAUUAGCACAACGUCUACUUAUAUUGUAUAAUUCAUAAAGUAUUUGAAUCAUAUAACAAAUGUGUGUAUAGUCGAUACAUUUGUUUUUUUUUUCAAUUAAGUUAUCUUUUCUUAUCGACCGUUGUUAAACUCAACAUGGCUUAUUAGGUUGAUAAAAAAUUCGAGACUUGAAACCUCACUUAGACUAGAUUUUUAAUCAAACAAAAAAAUAAAAACAGUGAUUUGACCAAGUUUGUUUAACUUGUUUUUGUUUUAAUGACCUGAGUAAGUGUCAGGGUUGAUCCGACAAUUGAUAUGAAAAAGAGCCUAGCUAGAUGGCUAAGUUAGUAGAUAAACUAGGAUCAAAAGACUCCGUUGGUUAGUUUAUCCAUGCACCGGUCCGAAAAUGUCCUGUUUGCAAAUCUUUUAUUUCAAGCUUCAACCGAAUGUUGCUAGUCAAUUCAAGAGAAAAAUGCCCAUCUUCGAAAUAUGGCCAUCGAAAAAUUAAAGAUAUGAGCUAAUUAACUGAUUUCAGCCAGUAAUGUUGACUCGAUACAUUAUAAGAUUUGUCAAAGACUAAAGAGAAUUCCUGUGGCUCUCAGCCUCUCCUGAUGUCGGUACGUAUAAUACAACCCCACCUCCAACAAAUUAAUUUGUCUUGUUCGAGCAAGUUUAAUGGACUUGGUUCGAUCGCUAGUACUUGAUAUUGCGGAUAUAAUCGAGGUCCUAAUCCCACCGGCAUCUUACCAUUAACUAAAUUGAACAAAUCUCUGUAAAAUACUGUCUGCAUAUCUGUCGGUGAUGUUUUUUAAAAAUAUUAUUUAGAAUAAAUUAUAUUAAAUUAUAUAAAUUAAUAGUAAAAAAAACCAAUUAUGCAAAUAAAUUUGUUUUAAACAUCAAAAAUAUAAAAAUAAAGUUAAAUAAUAUUCAUCCAAAUAUUCAUUACAAAUUUAAUGUGUUUUCAAAAAAAAAAAUAAACUAGAACAAUGACGGAGCUGAAAAAGGAGGAGGAGAUGGUGGAGGUUGGUCGUUCCCUGCACGAAACGACCAAAAGAACGCGCACAUGUAUCAUCACCCAUCUUUGAUCUAAUGUCCAUGACCAUUAGGCGUUGUUGUUGAUAAUCCACCGAGAGUUGAGCAUAUUGUUGUUUCAAGGCCAUGAACUUCUCGGACUGGGUGCUCGAUACUGAUUGGAAGCUCCCGACGGUUGAGACACUACGGGCCGCCCGCAAGUUCUUGGCCGUAGUGUUGGAGAGCCCGUACAUCCAAUUUUUAUCCGGUCCAUCAGACGAUUCUACCUCCAUCCACAAAUCCGGAUCGAAAUCCGAAUGGGUCGAAGGAUCGUCCCCAUAUCUCUCCCUCAAUUGGCUAUUAUAGGUCUUCUGAAAAUGAAAAAAGAAAUCAUCAUAUUCAAUUCUAGAAAAAUAAUAACUUACGAAAUAAAAUGGUUGAACGAACAUACCAUGAAGUGUUGAGCGUGGUUGUCAACGAACUGUUGCACCUCCUUUUUGCGGUCUUCACUCCGCACGUGCGUCUCUAGAAACAGCUCCAUUGGGCUUGGCUCAUGUCCAAGAGACGUAACUUGUAAGAAAAAAAUUAAUUAAGUAACAACAAAUUAAUUAACGAUAUAUUUUAUUUAAAUUAAUCUUACCAUCCGUUUUGUAUGUGCGUCAAACGGAACGGAGUCGCCAGUGUGCGUGGUCACCGAACCAUAAAUUUGUCGGUUCCGGUUGUUGGCAUCGGACUGUGAGCAUCGUGUGAACCGCUCAGACGUCACAUGCUCAAUAUAUUGAGGCCAUACAUCCCCCUAGGAUGUAUGGCGGUUUGAAAUUCCUCCAAACUGUCACGUCAUUCCAGCCUUGGAGACCGUUAUCUCUCGUGUACGUGCUUGCCUUUUUUUGUGUUUCAUUUCAAAAAUCACACAACCUACUUCCACAGUGAAAAAUUUGAUUUUAUAACAAUUUUUUUUAAAAAAAAUAUCGUAUUAUUUUCGAUGUUACCUAGUUGUCGCGUGAUUUUUCCACACCCUCCUCGCAACAUUGUUAUGGGUAUUGUCCCAUUCGAAUUUGUGAUGUUUUAUUUACAACAAAAAAAUAAUUUAUUUACAAUUAUAAUAAUAAUUUAUUAAAAAUAAGCUGAAAAUUAGAAAUUAACACCAACCUGAAAUCUUCAAAACCAUGCAUCAAUAUAAGGUCUCGAUUCAGAAUGUCUGGAAACUUGACUCCAUUGAAAUAAUAGAAUCUCCAUCGAUGAUUUAAACGCCGAUGAUAUUAUUCGGGCGGCCUCAAUGCUUGUGAACCUGAAAAUAAAUUAAAUUAAUGAAAUAUUGAUUAGUUGUUCAUAAAUUAUGUUAUAAUUAAAAAUAAUACUAAAACUAAACUGAAACAAAUUUACAUUGAAAGAUGGUCAUUUCAAUGUACUUUGUACUUAUGAAUAAAUUGCGUUGUUGAAAUUUUUCUUUAAGGUCUGCAUAUGAAUUACAGUAGCUAGCGUAACAGGGAUCCGGUAUGGAAGUUGAUUUGGAAAUGGAAAGGGCCGGAGAAAAUCAAUAGUCUAUUGACGAAUGACGAAUGAGACUCGAGUAUUUAAGAACAUGGCUGAAGAUAUGGAAGACUAGUGAAAGAUCAAUUUUAAAUACAAAGUAAGGAAGAAAGAAAUUGGUUCACAUUUAAGCCCAUUAUGGAAAAACAGAAGGCCCAUUGACCAAUACACUUUAGGUCAAUAUAAGCAUCGUUUGGGCUUCAAAACAGGCAAGUAUGAAGACGAAUGAGGUUAAGUUUCUUGCAUUUAGAAGUUCAUCAACUUUGUUAUAUCUCUAUAUUCUAUACCACACGCCAUAAUCAAAACCUCAAAUCAGUCCCGAGACUGUAAUUCCAUGCUGAUUCAAGUCCUUAGAAAACAUUAUUUCUUAAUUGGAUUCUCAAAGGUUCAAAAUUUUCAAUUGAGUCCCUAUGUUGGAUUUAUCAAUGGAUUUCUAUUUGAAAUGCAUAUGAUUUACACAGUAAAACGAGACUAUUCCAAGUGAAGUUUGGUAUUUUUUGUUUGAAACUGUGAUGAUUUUAACUAAGAGUACUUAUUGAAAAUAUCCGGAGAGAUCUAAUAAUUGUUGUUAAUUGCACAUAACUAUCAUAAUUACAGAAAAAUUAGCUAGAUUAUAAAAUAAUAUUCAAUAUUUUUUAAUAUAAAAUAAUACUAGCUAGAUUAAAAAAAAAUUUAAACUAACGAGUAAUAAAAUAAAUUAUCACAUUACAAUAAAAUAAAAAUAUUUAAUAUUUUGUAAUUUAAAAACAUUAUAAUUAAGUGCUUGAAGUUACCACAUCAAGUGACCUUCGGCCUUCCUUCGAGUACGAAUUGUAAUAAGAGCAGUUCACCAAGGCCCAAAAUCUAGUCCCUCAGGUCUCAUGCAAUAAGAGCAGUACCGAAACAGAUCGAAAAGUAUUUGGGCCCUCUUCUUUUUUGGGGUCCAAUUUUCAGGGUCCAACUAUUUGUCGGGUCAGAAACUAAAAGUUAGGCCCAACUUGUAAUCAUGUCAGCACAUGCUAGUCUUCUUGGAAAGCAGAUUGUGAUUUUCUACCCAUAAAAAUAUUAAAGACAGAGAUAUUGAAGGACUUCCAUGCCGGAGUCGGGUGGGGAUUAGCCGACUACCCAAGAAUUGGCUAAUUUAUCUACACACCCAAAAGUGAGAUUUCUUUUGCUUUUUUCUUUUAUAAAUUAAAUUUAUUGUCCAGAUAUAAAGGACAUUAAAACCAAAGGUAAUCAUACGAGUCGUUUUUGCAGUUAAAAAAUGUUUUUGAAUUUUUUUUAUUUUAAAUUAAUUUUUUUAUAUUUUUGAAUUAUUUUGAUGCAUUAAUAUUAAAAAUAAAAUUUUUAAAAAUAAAAAAACAUAUUAUUUCAAUAUAUUUUUAAAUAAAAAAUACUUUAAAAAAUAACCACUACUAUAAUUUUAAAUAAUAUUUUGAAUUUCAUUUACAGGGCACAUUUUUAUAUAUGUUUUUUUUUCUACCUCAAGGCGAAUUUUUUAGUUCGUUUGUCUUCAAAAAAUGGGGACCACAAAUUCUUUUUGACAUGGAUAUGACUCAGAGGUUAGGGACACAAUCCUAGAAAAGCAAGAGGUAACGGAGAAACUAUAAAAACAAGUUAAUUUCAUUGGUGGUGGAGUCAAAUACUUUGAGAUUGGAACUUGAUGGAUAUAAAUAAAAUGAACUCAUUUUUUUUUUUCAAAAGAGACCCAAAGAAAUUCUCUAAAAAAAGGAAAAAGUUAAAAGAAAAAAAAGCCAAAAAAUUUCCAAGGAACAUGGACUCGAGUAAAGAACUUGAGCACAUGGUCCUUCCAUAGGCACAUGGAUGCCUAGUGCGUGGGCACCAUGCAAUGCAUUACGCGUUCGCCUAGUGCUGGGUGUACAAUACACCUGCAUUCUCAAUCAACCUAAUAUUGAAUGAUGAAAUAUAAAACAAAAUUCAACUAAGAAAAUGAGUCGAGUCAAGUUAACUUGUCAAAUAUAGAUUAUAAGACCAGAAUAACCCCAUAGAAAGAAAAUAAAAAUAAAUUAUGAAACUCAAUUCUCAAUUAAUCCAAUGUUGAAGGGUAAAAUUAAAAAAAAAUAAUUUAAAAAAGGAUACAAAAAACCACUUGAAUCAAUUGACCAAACUCAUGACCCAAGUUAUAAGAUCAAGAUAACCUUAUAGAAUGCAAACUAAAAACAUUAUAAAGGCUAAUUCCCAAUCAACUUAAUAUUGAAGGAAGAAAUUCAAAAAAUUCAACUAAAAAAGAGAAAAAAAAACUUGAUUCAACCGGCCCAACCUGCCACCCGGGUCAUAAGACUGUGAUAACCCCAUAGAAAGUAAAUAAAAAAUAUCAAUCUCAAUUCCCAAUUAACCUAAUUUUGAAGGAUUGAAUUGAAAAAAAGUCAAAUAAAAAAGGAAAAGAAUAAAUCAAGUCAACUUGGAUUAACCUGUAAAACUCGGGUCAGACGAUCAGUACAACUUUGUAGAAAAGGAAUAAGUUUUUUUUUAUAAAAUCAAAUUCUCAAACAACUCAAUGUUGAAUGAUAAAAUUAAAAAAAAUAAUUAAAAAUGGAUAAAACAAAUGACUUGAGUUAACACGGCUAACCUGCAAAACUUACGACUCGGGUCAUGAGACUAAUAUAACUCCAUAGAAAGUAAAUAAAAAAAGAUUAUAAAGUCUUAUUCCUAAUAAUCUUAAUAUUGAAGGAUGAAAUUAAAAAUAAAAAAUUAAUUAUAAAUGGAUAAAAAAUGAUCUGAGUCAACUUGACUAACCCGUAAAAACCAUGACCCGAAUCAUGAGACUGAGAUAACUCUAUAGAAAACAAAUUAAAACAAAUUAUGAAGUCAUAUACCUAAUAAACACAACAUUGAAAGAUGAAAUUAGAAAAAUCCUAAAACAAAAUUGAGGAUCAAAAUGAAAAAAAACUUUGUUUUUCACUAUUCAUUACUACAGUGAAAAACAAAGCACCUUUACCAGACGUGAAUGAUGAGUAAAUGGUGGGCUGGACCAUUCCAUCCAAAUUUUUAGAAAGGGUCCAAUUUCGUAUGUUUUUGGUGCUCUUUCCUAUGAUUCUCAACUCAUACUAAAAACUUAGAGAGAGGAAAAUAGAUUAACAUAAGAUUAUAAAUGUUAUCCCCACUCAAAAUAAGAUAUAAAUCCUCUUCCCGAGAAUACCAAAAAUCACCAUCUCGCUCCUUUUCCUUUAGGCAUUUCAAUUUCAAAUUAGUUCGAUAGCCAAAAAGUUGCUGCUCAUAAGCCUAAUGCUUGUUCUAAAAAAACAUCAAUCGACCUGUACCUCCACUUAGUUUCGCCCAAUCUUUAUCAUGGUUAUAUAUAGACCCCUACCAUUCAUUUUGAACAACAGAAAGUGACUAAUCAAGUUUUUACAACAAGCUUUACAAGGAGCUAUAUCAAUUCCUAAUAGUAAGAGUAGUUAAUCAAGUUCAACCUCUGGCGUUCUUGUCAUGAACAAAAGAGUGGUAGGGCAAACGCUAACAAAGAGAUCGUGAUCAUUUGGGUAUAAGAAAAAGUCGUUAUAUGGCUUGUUUAUCUUAUUUUACUUGAGUUAAUUAUUUAAUUAGAUGGAGUUAUGGAUUGAAAUUAAAAAAAAAAAAACUAAAAGGUGUAAGUUAAAUACUGCUCACCCCAUAUAUAAGCAAUUUAGAUUGAAGCAAUGUUUUCUCUUUUUUUUUUAUGUUGCGAUGUUGAAAGAAGGUUUUGGUGUUAAAUGAUGUUUGAUCACACAAAAUCAACUUUAAUUUUCUUCAUUAAACAUAAUUAGAAGUAUAAAGAUCGAAAUUGACACCCAAACAAAAUCCAAGACUUUUUUUAAAAAAUAAUGUAGCCAAGGCGUAUUUUUAGCUUUUUAGUCCCUUAAGUUUUUUUUUUCAUUUUAAUCCUAUUUAACAAAAUUUUUACAUUUUAUUCCAACAUUUCAUUUCCUUUAUAUUUCAGUUUUUGAGCUUGAGAGAGGAAACAGGGGUCCCCGAAAAACAUGAAAGAGAGAGAGUUUUGGUUGGCUCAAUUCUAUCCAUGAAAAAGAUCGAUCUUGGUGUUAACAAGUCCUAUUUGAUGAGAGGAAUUUCAUUGAUAUAUUCUUUGGCCUUCACCUUACUUGAAAAGGUAGAUAUAAGCUAAGAAAAGUUUUUUAUUCCAGAUUGGUUUUGCAUUUCUUGCCAAUUUUUUGGUUGUUUUAGAGCCAUAAAUGAAUUUGUUCAAGUAUCUAAGGUGUUUUUAGGUGUUUUCAAGUAAAAAAUAGUUAAAAAUUAGAUUUUUGCCACUUUUUGACGGUCAUACUAUGAACUAUACAUGACAUGUGGUUUGUGUCAUUUUAAAAAAAAAUGAGCGGAUAACGCAUCUCCAGCCUAAUUUAAUAAAAAAAACUUAAGGCUCAUGCCCAUGAGUUGACAGGAUCACAUGCCUAAGCUUUUUUUAAAAAAGGCUUAGACAUGUUGGGUCACUCAGACCCGUGUGCCUAGCCUUUUUUCAUUUUCUUUUUAAUUUUAUUGUUUGAUAUUGAGCUUUUUUUUUAAUUUUAUUAUUCAUCAUUUGCUUUUUUUUUUAAUUGAUCUUUGUGUUCUGUUUUUGCUUGCUUUUCUUAGGAUUAUCGCGGUUUUGGACAAACAUCCUAAUAUUUGUUAGGUUUUUAAUUUUGCGAGCAUCUAUUUUUUAUCUAUAAUUAAAUAACAAAUAAUUUCAUAAAAAAAGUAUUGAACCCAGUUGGGUGCAUGACCUAGAUCGCUAGAUUGACAUUUUAACCGGAGUUCUCUUAGGUCUUUUUUUAUUCUUUUUUUUAACAUAAUUUAUUUUUUCACUUUCGCCUUUGUAAUACUAAGUUGAUUGAAAAUUAAACUUUGUAAUUUAUAUCAACUUGCUUUUUAUGAGUUAUCACGGAUUCAUAAUCCGAGUUGCGAGUUUAAUGGAUUGACCUAGAUCUAUCCAAUAUGCGACUAUUUUCAAAAGAUAUCAUCUCAUAUAUUAUUGUCUCGGUAUAUAAAAAAUAUAUCUAUGUCACUACCAGAAAAUUGAUAAAUACAAACGGAAAUACCGAGGGAAUAUUUCUGUCGGUAAAUUUCCGAGGGAUUUUACCGACGGAAAUAUUCCCUCGGUAUAUACCGAGGGAAUUACCGUGGGAAAAAAAAUUAAAACAAAGCAAAAAAAAAAUAAUGACGUGUCAUUUUUACCAACGGAAUUACCGACGGAAUCACCGACGGAACAAAUUCCGUCGGUAAAUUGUGAACACUGUUCAUCAUGUUAAUUACAAAGGGAAUCACCGACGGAAAAUUCCGUCGGUAUUUUCCAGAGAGUAAAUCACCGACGGAUUGAAAAGUCGUCGGUGUUAUUUGGCGGUUUUCUGAAAAAAUUCAAUUAAUUUAAAAUUUUCAUUUAAAUAUUACAGACGGAAUCACCGACGGAUUGAAAAAUCGUCGGUAAUUUUUUGGCGGUUUUUGAAAAAAUUUUACGAAAUUGAAAAUUUAAAUUAAAUAUUACCGAUGGAAUUACCGACGGAAUAAUUAAAAAAUAUUAAUAUUUAAUUAUCCGUUGGUAAAUCCGUCGGUAAAGCGUCCCAAUAAAAAGCCUGAAUGCCCUUAUCUCACAAGAGACAGACCCGUUUCUUAUUCUUCUUCUUCUUCUUCUUCUUCUACUUCUUCUUCUUCUUCUUCUUCUUCUUCUUCUUCACUAUAUGUAAAAAACAUCAUUAAGGUAUGUCUUCUUCUUCUUCUUCACUUUAUGUAAAAAACAUCAUUUCUUAUCUAUUUCUUUCUCUUCUUUUCUCUCCUCAUCUCCUUCUCUUUUCCUCCAUGUUUGGGUAUGUCUUCUUCUUCUUUCUUCUUUUAUCCUCUUAGUUUUUUUUUUUAAUUAAUAUGCUUAAUGAAAUUUUUUUUCUCUCCUUAGCUUCACUUGCAACUACAUUAAGGUAAGAUUUUUCUUUUUUCUUCUUUUUUCAUGAUUUUUUUCACUAUAUUUGUUUUUUAUUUUAUUUUUAAUUGUUUUUGUUCUUAAUAAUUGUAUAAAUGUUGUUGUAUUUAUUUUUAUUUUAUUUUUAAUUGUUUUUGUUCUCUAAAUUCUUCAUAGAAUUAAUUUUUUAGUUGAAUUAAUUUUUUUAUUUUAUUUAUUUGUUGCAAAUUUGUUUGAAUUGAUUUUCUUAUUCUUUUUUCCAAGCAUUUUGAGUAUAUAUUAUACAGUGUUAAUUUAUGUUAAUUUAAUUAUUUUAUAAUUUUAUAAAAUGAAUUUUUUUUUAAAUGUUUUUCAAUAAUUACCGACGGAUUUACCGACGGAAUUAUUCCGUCGGUAAUUCCGUCGGUAAAUCCCUCGGUAAUUCCGUUGGUAAUAAAAAAAUUAUUACCGACGUGUCUGUUCCGUCAGUAAAUCCGUCGGUAAUUCUAUUACCGACGGACAAAACAUUACCGACGAACUAUUCACCGACGGAUCAUUUCCGUCUUUGAUUCCGUCGGUAAUAUAAUUACCGAUGGAAUAUGUGUCUUAUGUGUCUUAUACCGACGGAAAAAUUCCGUCGGUAAAACUGUUAAAUCUUAUAGUGUGUAUCCAGGGGUGGAAGGAAGGGGGGGCCCGGACCCCCCCUGAAAUAUUCUGCCCCUGUAAUAUAUAUGGAAAGUAGUGGAGUGUUCGCUUCAGAUUCCCUUCAUUUUCACUAGAUUAUUAAAUAAUGUGUGCCCGUAUCUUUCUGGGCAAUUCAUAUUAAUAAUAUAUAUAUAUAUAUAUAUAUAUAUAUAUAUAUAUAUAUAUAUAUAUAUAUAUUAUUAGGUAAUUAAGUGUGGAGAAGGUUUUUUAUUUUACAAAGGUGAGUUUUCUUAUUGUAAUUAAGUGUGAUUUUUCAAUUUGAUUUUUUUAAAAUUAAUUUACGUAGCCCUAAUAUAAAUCCUAUAAAGAUAAAAUUAUUACUUUGCUCAAUAAAUUCUGCAGCCGGUCAAAAACAAAAAUAUAAAUAUAAAUCAUAAGUAAAAUUUUUCAACGGAAAGAUUGAAGUAGAGCCAUCAAUUAAUUUAUUUUUCAUCAAACAAACAAGGUAACUUAAAUUUAAAAUCUAUUUUUAUUUUAUUUUGAGAUGUUUGUUAAUAAUUUGAUGAGGUUUUUUUUUUAUAUAAUUCUAUCAUUUUUUCUUUAUUUUUUUCUCAGAUCUGCUAAUUUUACAAAUUGUUUUUUGAAUUCUUGUUAUAGUGCUUUUUUUAAUUAAUUAGAUAUAUUUUAUUGGUUUGUUUUGAUUAUACUUUGAUUUUUUUUAUGUUUUGUUUUUAGCAGAAUCACCAAAAUUAUCAAUUUUUUCUCACGAUAUAUGUUUUGAUUUUAGGUUGAACCAUGAACAAAAUAAGAAGAAUUUGAUUUUUUUUUUCAAAAAAAAUAUUGAUAACUCGCAGCCUAGUGAACCAACUCCAAUGUGUAAUGUUAAAGUUAUGGUUGAGCAACUCCAAUGCGCCUCAGUUUACAAAGAACCCGCGUUAAUUAGUGAGAAUAGUUCUUUAUUAUUUUUUGCUUUAUUUCAAAGUUUAUCGAACAUAAAUAAUACUUCGUUUUAGCUAAUGUUUCUUAUAUACUUUGUAUGUUUAUAUUUGAUAGAUAUAAAGACCAACAACAUUAAAGUGAUGAAUAUAUUAUGAAGAUGAAAUUAACUUCGUUGCUUUGACUCAAUUUGGUAUUUCUUCGAACCUUUUACCUUAUACAAAGAUCAUUAUAUAUUUAUAGUAAGUUAUUUGAAUAAAACUAAAUUAUACAGGUUUUUUUUACAACUCAUGUACAAUAAAAUAAAAUAAAUAUUAUAUUUUAUUAUAUUAAUUAUGGCCCCUCUAACAAAUAAUUCUAGCUCCGCCCCUGUAUGUAUCUAAUUUUGAAUUCAUUUAAAAAAAAAAUUCUUUUGAAAUACACGUUAGCCACGUCUGAAUAAUUUGUUCAGACCCAUGGUAUAAUGCAAACCAAUAAGCUAAUAAAUUGGACACGUGGUAAUCUAUGCUAAACACAACUACGAUUAUUAGAAGUAAACAUAAAAUAAAUCUUUUCUAGGAAUUUUCUAAUGUUAACAGAUAGGAAAAAUAUAUUGUUUGAGACUUCUUUUCUGAGAAACAAUUACAUCCCUAGAAAAGUACUUUCAAAGAGAAAAGCUUUUUUUUUUAAAAAAAAAAAUGCUCCGUAGUGAAAGGUAUAGUCCAUGAACAGAAUGCCGACUGGAAAUAAAAUCAUAAACUUAGCGGUCACUCAGGCCCCAAAAAAUUAAAAAUGAAAUAGCUAGGAAAUUAAUCAAUGCAGGUAGAAGUUGACACGACAUUAAAUAUUAGCCACUAAAAUUGAGAAAAAUCUAUGGUUAAAAAUAUAAUAUAAUACUAGUUAUUUUUUAAAGUGUUUUUUAUUUUAAAAAAUAUUAAAAUAUUUUUUUUUAUUUUUUUAAAAUUAUUUGUUAUAUCAGCACAUCAAAACGAUCCAAAAACAUUAAAAAAUAUAUAUAAUUUAAAGUUAAAAACAAAUUUAAAUUUUACCAAAAGUAUUUUUAAAAAAUAAAUAUACACUUAGCAGAUCCAUCAUAAGAACUUGACCAUUAUUAAGACUAUUUUGCAAGUAAUAUUAACUUUUGCGAAGCAUGGAGAAGAGAUAAGGUUUCACUUUCAAAUUCGAGUUUCAAGAAUCGAAGUGCACUCCGUGUGUUCAUAUUCCAGAGGGAAAAACUGAACAUGCCUGCUCAUGUCUUGUUGACAUUUGUUCAAGUUUUGAGUGAAAAAAGAAAAAAGAAAACAGAAUUGAGACAGAGAGUGAGAUAGAAAAACCUAAAUUGUCUCUUUCCUUAAAAAUACAUGGCCAAGUUCAGUUAACCGAGGAGCAAGGAUAGUGAUAUAUCCGUUACCUGUCAAAGUGACUAUUCAAUUCUAUCAAAUUGAAGACAAAUAACGAUCCACGUUGAAUGAGUAGAUAUUGACCACUCAUGACUCUUAAUCUUGGUGUUGAAUUUGGAAUAAUCAAAUACCACGUGACGAAUGGUAUGCUUGCUGCCGAAGUUUCUUGGUUCAUAAAUAUUUGCCUUACAGGCUAGUCGUUCGAAACCAGAGAAGAGAUGCUUGCUUGAAUAGAAACUAUCAACAGAUGAAUUGAUUAUUUACUGAUUGCUAGUAACUAAUUUGUUAGGCCGAGAGUAUGACGUUAAUUAGAUAUUUUUAGUUAAAUCACAAUUCGAAAUGUAAGACGCCUCCGAAUAAUAGUAGAUUAGAUCACAAUCCGACGAGGAAAUAAUAUUUUCAACCAGCAAAGUACGUUGUUAAUAAUGCUUUACAAGAGGAAAUUCGGUGGAACGAGUAGAAGAUAGGGACGAUGAAACAAUAAAAUAUUAUCCUGUUCGUCGAAGGAAUUGUUUCUUAACGAAGAGUGGUAGCCAUACUCCACCUAAUCCAAAUAUCAUUAGCUGUAAAGAGUUAUUUUCUCGAGUCUUGAACUCAAAUGAGACCCUAACAGUGUUUUCAAGAUGAAAUGUAAGACCCUUUUCUUAUUCUACUGCCCCCUGUUUACAGAGAUACUUUGCAAUUUGCAUAGGUCCGCCACUUGUCAGUUUCGAAGAUUGCUGAUAUUAUUAUCUUUUCGAAUGCUAUCUAUCCCAUUUGCUUACCAUUUAUUCUUAUUAUUUAUAUACCCAACAAGAAUGUUCCUGCAUGACUGAAAUUCGAUUAACACAUGCACAUUGAUUUUUCAAAGGACGAAAAGUAUUGUCUAGUUACUGUUUUAGGAUAAAAAUCAAUUAAAAAAAAAAUAUUUGAUUGAAGAAAUAUAAAUAAAGAUAUAAAAAUAAAUUCAUUUCUAGAAUAAUUUUAAAAUGAGUUUCUAUAUUUUUAAAAUAGAAAGUAUAGAAGAGAUAUGUCUACAAUGAUAAUAUUUUUUAUUCUUAAAUAUCCUUGUAAAAAACUUUCAAUUCUAAAAUUAUAAAACAAAAACGUGUAAGAAAAAAAAUGACUAUUAUUACAGUUUUAAAACUCAAUUCAGAGGUCGAUUCGGGACAAAGCCAUAGUCAAUGAUAGAGGCCCGGGUUAGUGUUAGAAUAAAAAUGAUUAUUAUUAUAGUUUUUAACUUGAUUCGGGUGUCGAUCCAGGGCAAGAUCCAAGUCAUGAGUAGGGUUGAGUACCAUUGAUCCAGGUCAAUAUAAAAACAAAAAUAGUUAUUAUUAUAGAUUUAAAAUCCGACUUGAGGUUCGACAUGGGGCAAGGCUGGUGUCACGUGUUAGGAGGAUCAACUUCAGUUGAUCCAAGUCAACAUAAAAUAAAAAUUGUUAUUAUCAUAGUUUUAAAACUAGAUUCUAGGGUCAACACAGGGCAAGGCCCCAUUACAGACCAGGAGGGUCAACCCGGGUUGACCCGAAUCAACAUAAGGAUAAAAAUUGUUAUUAUCAUAAUUUUAAAACCCAACUCAGGGGUCAACCAGGACAAGAACCAGGUCACAGAUCGGGAGGGUCAACACAGGUUGACAUAGGUCAACGUAUAGAUAAAAAUAUUUUUUUAUUAAAAAAUAUUUUUUUUAUAUUUUCAAAUUGUUUUGAUGUGCUGAUUUUAAAAAUAAUUUUUUUAAAAUAAAAAAAAUAUUAUUUUGAUAUAUUUUUAAAUAAAAAAACACUUUAAACAGUUAUCAUAAUUCUUAAUAGAUAGAAUAUGUUUAAUUAGUGUUUGAAAACACUAGUUUUAUUUAUCAAUAAAUUUUGGUGACGAAUGCCUUGUUGAACUGCAGCAGUGCAACUUAACUUUUUGUGCAGAUCUGGGUAUUUUUACCCAAAACAGAGAAUGAAGCAAUUUUUUACUCUGUUUAGCCGAGUCUCUGUGGAACCAUGUUAAAAAAGUAUUUCAACGAACGGCAGCAGUCACCUCGUUUUUUUUUUUUUUUUUGUUCCAUUGAUACUUAUUUAUGUGGUAUAUCAGGCCCACGUACAAGAGAGAUACAACAAUCUUCAAUCCCUUUACAAGGGAAAAAGGGAGAAAUGAGAAGAGAAAAAAAGAAAAAUACACAUGUAGAUUCAGCAUAUGAUCAAUCCUACCAUUUCAAUAAAUUUCAUGGAAGGAGAAAAAAAAAUGAAAUAUAUAAAAUCAAGAUACUUCACCAAGGACUCGUAGCCUUUCCAGAUGAAUUCAACAGUUGUUCCAAAUAAUCAGCACCUAGAUCUUCCAAAACGACUACAUUUUCUAUCCUUGCAUUCCUCUCUUUCUUGCCCCUGCUUCCCAAUUUCCUUCUCAUGGAGUACUUUCUCUUUAGAGCCACCACAGGUGAGCACCCAUCCUCAUAAUGAUGACUACACUUCAUAUCCUUAAGCGACUCCCUCACUCUUUCAACUGGGAAAUUUAGUAUAGUCCCAGGUCCUCUCAUCGAAAAAGCAGCUUGAUCAUAAGCCAAAGCAGCUGCUUCUGCACUGUCAAAUGUGCCUAACCAUACCCUUAUGCCAUUCCUUGUGGAAUCCCUUAUCUCCGCUGCGAAUUUGCCCCAUGGCCGCCUCCUAACACCCCUGUAGGACUUUUCCUUGUCGGGAGUUCUUUUGGCAACUGAACUGACCUCUUCUUCCUUAACAAUUCCAUUACAGAAAGUUGUUCUUGAUGUUUCUUGAGUGGCCUCCGAGAUUAGUUCAAAAAGAAGCAUUUCGUCGGAGUCAUUUUCAUUGAAAGGGAGAGAACUUUGGUUAAAAGAUUGGCUAUAAAAAGAGUCUGGUGAUCUAAAACAAGAUUCGGAUGAGAAAUCAGAAUUUGCAGAGUGAAAGAUGGAGGCAUCCAUUUGAAUUGGUUGGGGAUUUUUGGUUUGUGUUUUCUGUGGCCUCUUUGUUUUCUUGAUGUCUAUUGGGGUAUGCAAAAUUUGAAGUCUUGUGCUCUUUAUAUACCAACAAAGGGUGGCAGUCAGGUAGGCAGGAAUUUGAGCUUUGACAGUCAUAAGAGUGAAUGAAGUAUUUACCUAAAAUGGUAAAGAAAAGUGAUCUACUAGUAAUACUAGUAAUGAGUAAGUUAUUAAUUUGUGAUAGUAGUUGUUUUUUUAAAUAUAUUUUUUAAAAAAUAUUUUUAAAUGGAAAAACAAAUACAAUCUAAAUUAAUCUAAAUAUCUUUUUUCCAAUUGAUAUUUAUUUGCAAUUAAGUUAUUUUGCUCUUUAUUUAUUAUGCAAGAUCUCAAUUUGUUUUUUUUUUUAAAGAUUGUAAGAAAAUCUUUUGUGAAUAUAUCACGUGGAUAUUCUACAUGAAAUUUAGCACAUGAAAAAUAAUUAAAUCUCAAUUUAAAAAGCUAGUCUUAUUCAUAAAAAAACAAAAUAUCCUAAAUAACAAAGAAAUUGGCCAAACUCCAAAGUGAAUAUGAUGGCAAUAUGUUUAAUCAUUUAAUUAAGUGUGGGAUCCGCAUCGCCUAUGGGCUUAAAAUUGCUGAUUUGUCAACUGAAGAUAGAUUGCCAGGUCAGAACGGCAUUUGUGAUGACAUCAUCCCAAUGAUCUCAGUUUUUGUCUGUCUCAGAUUUGGUGGACGGCCUUUCAAACCCGGUUUGGUCCGACGGGUUGAUCUGAGACCCGAUCGAUCUGAGACUCGAACCGGAUUGGAUUAAAAAAAUAGAUGAAGAAAAAACAAGGUAUGACCCGGUGACCUGGUUGACCAGGUAAGACCCGAUCAAAAACCCAGUUGCAACUUGUUGACUUUUGUUUUUUUUUUUUACUAAAACGACAUCGUUUUAAUUUUUUUAAAAUUUUUGGCCUGAGCAACCCGGUGACCCGGUCAAAACCCAAAACCUGAGCCUUGGACCGGCUAGGUUCUGAAAACUAUGUUGAAUGGAGCCUUGUCCACUUGUCAUCCACGCGGAAGAUAAUGGUUUUUUUUUUAGAUGUAUAAUUAAAUCUAAUCUAAUUUUUUAUAUUUAAAAAAUUAUAAACCUAAAUUUAUUUAUUUUUUAAAUCUAUGUGUGUUAGAUAUAUAUGAUUAAUUUUUUUUAAUAUUAUAUAUAUUAACAAGUUUGGCUUUUUUUUUUUUAUGUAUUAAGCUUAAUUAAAACUGAGAUUUAUGUUUAAUAAGUUAAUUCGUGUUAUAGAUUAUAACAAAUAAUUUUAGCUUAAUAAACCAACUAAAUCAAUUGACUAUAAUAAAAGAACCAAUUGAGAAAAAAUAAAUAAAUAUAUAUAUAUAUAUAAUAAUAAAUUAAGUUUGUUGUUAUCGAAUUUAUGAGUUAUGUUGAUUUAAUCAAGUUUCAAAAAAUUUAAUGAAUUAUUUAAAUUGUAAUAUUUAUUUUUUAAAAAAUUUAGUUGGCUAUUAUUUAUAAUAUUUAUAUUAUCUAAUUUUGAAUAGAUAAGUUUGGAAAAUAAUAUAAAUAUUAAAUAAAAGGUUUUUUUUUACACCUCUAAUUUUCAUAUGCUUUCUUAUAGUAAUCGGGAUCGUGACAAAUCAGGUUUGGCUGCUGCAUGUUCCCUCGAAAAUGGUCUCCACCAUAGUCUCCACUUGAGAAGCCAUCUCUUCCGUCGGUUAGUUACUUUGUUUCGCUGCCAUGGCUUGACCUUACGAGUAUCUACAGCAAAACAAAAAAGGGUAGCAUAUGUAUAAUUACUUAAUCCACUCCAAGUAUUUUUCAUAUAAAAAUAAAGAUUAGAUACGAAAAUGUGAAUAAACUUACUUCAAAUUCAAUAAUAAAAUUACCAUAAUUGUGGUUUUCAAUUUUCAAAAAUGGAAGAAAUUCCAAUUUUUGUUUUUCCAUUUAGAGUUAUAUAUCAUCAAUGAGCAUUAAAAAAGGUUUGUGCAAGCACUCAACUAGGAUAAGUACGUUUGAUGUGAUAAAAUUAUUUAUCAAAUAAAAAACAAUUCUAUGUGAUAAAAUUAUGUCCCUUUAAUUUUCUUGAUGAAAAAUAAUAUUUGAAACCCAGUAUUCAAGUGCAGGGCGUUAUUGUAUUUGUAUAUAAGCAAACAACUUUCGGAUAUUCUAUAAGCCAAAGACCAAAAAAAAAAAAGCAUUUCAUUUUGAGGGGGAAAAAAGAAGAAAAAGAAACCAAUUUUUUUAUUCGUGUUUAAAGUUUUUCUGCAUGAAUGAUUUCUUGGUUUCGCAAUAUCUGUUUUUUUUUUUUUUUUGAGAUUAUGGAUUAAAUUACAAUACUAAAAGAGUUAAAAAAAAAUAAAAAAUUCAAAGUUUAAUAGUGUUUUAAAACUACUUUAUUCAUUAAUCAAGAUGAAUAUUUUUUGAGCGAUUUUAAGGGUAGAUUCUUAAUAAUUGAUCUAGUGUAUUCAGAGGACAAAAGAAUUCUAAAUACUAACUUGAAAGUUUAUAUCCAGAAAAUUAAAAAAAGAAGAAAAACAUCUUUGAACGCGAAAUGUACAUGAUUAUAUUCACAUGAAUAGGGACUUUCUUAGUAACUUCCGAUUUGAUGUUGUUGCGUUUUGUUACGCCUCUCCUCUCUCAUCUACUAUGAAACAUUGGGAUUCAUGUGAAUUGAUUUCGUGAUCAUAAUCAUAAUCUCCAGUCAACUCUGAUGAAAACUUCUUCUAAUACAUGUAUAAUACAUAUUACUUCACAAAAAACAAGUAAAAGAGCUGCAAACUUUUCCUUAAAGAUUGUUUAUCUACUAUCGGUGAUCCGAACGUAUUAUUAUCCUAGAUAUAGAGCCUAUGGAUCAUGAUUUUGAAAAUUAAUUUUGUGAUUUUGAAAUGGUCCGGAUACACGCCCCCUUGAAACCCAAGGAAAUAUUUCAAAGUCGCCAAAACUGGGAGAUAAUUGUUGAAUGUUUGAAAGUCUCCCAGAAAGAAUGGAUACUAUUUUGUGGAUGGUGACCACCUCUUCUCUUCUUUAACGCACAAGAAGCUUUGAUGUUCACGCAUGAUACGCAGCUUCUUGGAAAGCCCGUUUCAAGAGAGCGGUCUUUUCAGAUACAAAUUGAUCCAAUAAAAUUUGGAAAAUUCUUAUGUCUUGACUGAGAACACCAUUAAAAUCUUGUUUUUCAUGUGGCCCUAUAUAUUUUGCAGUACUUUCAUCUGUAAAUAUUCUUCGGUCUGUUUUUUCUUCCUUGUUCAGAUACUACUGAAUUUUGUGUGUCUAGCAAUUUUUAAUUAUUGUCCCAAUGCGACAAGGGCAGAAAUCUCUUCUUUGCUAGCCAGCGCGCAAGUCCUCGUCAUUUUUACAUCAUGCAUCUUUGUGCAUCUGAAUGAGAAGCUCUCCACUGCUAGAAAAGGAAAAAGGCUAAUUGAAAGAGACUAAAUUAUAAAUACCAUACAACAUGUCCAUAGAAAUCAGAACAAAGACAAAGGUAAAAGGAUACUCAGAGGUUCUUCAUAUGUAAAGAUUGACAUCAGCUUUGGAAGAAAAAGAAAAGUCUGGUUUCCACUCCCCAUUUUCUUUCCAGAUCCUGACCUGUUCAGAUAGUGAGAGUAACAUAUGUAUAUAUAUAUAUACACACACACAGCAUCAGUGGUCUCUACUCUCAACAACCACCGCUUGGCCUUUUAUUCUGUUUCGUAACCACAAAUAGCAUUAGAAAAAGAAAAGAAAAAAGAGGAUCUAAUUAAGGCAGGAGUGACACUACUACUUGACUGCUAGUUAGGCGAGCUAUGAUGCCAACAGAUUCACGGUACAUAGUCGAUUUGUAGAUGUUCACAAUUCUCUUUGCGUCCAUGUCAAGGCCCCACUACCAGUGCUCUUUCCACUAAGCCAACGACCUAUUCUCGGCGGUCUUAUUCGAGCCAUCCCACAACCUGUCCGGCUAGAAACAUCGGUAGUUCCCCGUUGCUCACAGAAUAUUUCCAGCAUAAUGUUUGAAAUUCGACAAAAAUAAUUUACACCCUUGCUAUUGUAUUGGCAUUUGCAAAACUGGGUCAUCUAAAGAUAUUUGCCAAUUUGAAAGGAAAAAAAAAGAGUGCAAAUAAUAUUUUAGGUUCUAUUUGAUAUGCUUUCUGAAGAGUAUGAAAAUAAAUAUUUUACAGGUAUUUUCUAUAAACAAUUUACGAUAAAAUAAUUCGAAAUGGAAGUAAAUUAACUCUUUUGAAUAAUAAAGACGACAUAAGUAAGAAUUAAUAAAUUGAAAAUUAAAGAUUUUGACUUUUGAUCAAAUUUUAAAACGAUUUUUUCUAUUCAAAUGAAAAUUAUUUCUGUCUAAAAAUAAUCGUAACAUUCUUUGAAUCAGAUUAAAAAUAAUUUAAAUCGAUAUAUAAAAUUUAUAUAUAGCAGAUAGAACCUUAAUCUACAAUAUCAAGAUUAUAUCAAUUUUAGUCAUAUUGGAUAAACCACCUUUUUGCUCUCUGUGUUCGUGGCAAUUAUUGAUGGUCUUACUCCCUGUGUUUUUAAUUCAUCUCAAUCAAUUAUAUUGAGGGACUAGAUUGUAUUUUUACAAAUGUAGAGACUAAAAUUGAACCUUCUUUUUUUUUCUUAGAUAAUUUCGUCCACAGCCCCAAAUCACAAAUAUCUCCCAAACAAUAUUACAAUAUUUAAAACCAUAUUUAAAAGAACUAAAUUCAAUAAUUAAUUUCAACAAGGAGAAAUUUGGUGCUCUUCUAAUGUGCAAUUAUUGAUUUGACCACUUGACUAACAUUCUCAAUUUUGAUACCAAUCGACCAAGUUUGAAAUGCAUGAAGGGUAAGACAACCAAUUACUAUAAACAUAGAUGAUAAAAAGGCGGUUUUGCCAUUUUAAUGCAAUUGUUAAAUAUCAAUAAAUUUUUUUUUUAUAUUCCUUUGUUGAAAAUAUGGCAAAACAAAUUGUAAUAUCACAAUAUAUAAUCGUUGGUUUUGCACGACACCAUGGAUUAGAUAAAUUAUUUUUUAAAAUAUAAAAAAUAUCUAUGCAUUGCUAAUGUGUUUUUUUAUAAAUUAAUAAUAAAUUAAAAAUUUGUUGUAUAUUGGAUGAUAUUUUUUUUAAUAUUGAGACGGUUACUUUUUGAACAUAUUUUUUUUAUAAAAAUUAAAAUAGUAACAUAUUAGAUCAACUUGGAUCAAAUUGUGUUCCCUUGCGAAACUCAUAGGUCAGGUGAUGAGACUGUUAAAGUUUUAUAAAAAACAAAUUAAAAAGUUCAAUUCUUAGUUAACUUAACGUUGAAGGAUAAAUUGGUAAAAAAAAUAUUAAUUUUUUUUAAAAAAAUCUAAGUGAAUCCAGGUUAACCUAUAAAAUACAUGACCCGGGUCAUGCACCUCACCGAAUUUAAUAAUUUAUUUUAUCUCUUAGAUUGUUUUUCAUUUAAUUAUACAAUGACUAGGUGUGUGAGAUUUUUUUAUAUAAAAUAUUUUUUAAAGAAAAAAAAAAGAACAGACAUGUGGGAAUAAAAUAACAAAAACAUGCCAAAAUUUUAAAAUUAAAUAACCAAAAGAUAUAUUUUUUAUUUUAAAUUAAAUAAAAAACAAACAAUCAAAUAACAAGGAAAGAAAUGUUUUAUUUCUCUUUUAUUUUGAGGGACUCAAAAUGCAUUAAAUAACAAAAAACAAAUGUUAGGCAUGUGAGCCAACCCACACACUUGCCUAUAAAAAAGGCCUGACCCAUAUGCUAAAUCUCUUUUUUAUUAUUAUUAUUUUUUAGAACGCGUCGUGCAUCCCUACAUUGUUUUUUUUCAUACAUGAACAAUACAUCAUCUGUAACCCUAAAAUUUGGUGACCAUAAGGUUACUGGAAAACUGAGAUAGAGGUUUCUUUACUUUAAAAAAAUAUCCUAAACACCUACAUAAACAACAAAAAUUCAAACAACAAGAAAAUCAAUUAAAAACCUAGCAAUCAAUCUGAAUUAAAAAAAUCUCUUUAGCUCAGAUCUACAUUCUCAAACAAUGAAAAGGGUAAAGAACACCUAGGGGAAACCCCUAAUUGAAUGGAAUCCAUUGACACCAAAAUCGACUUUUUUCAUGAUUGAAAUCAAUGACAAUCGAAACUCUUUUUCACCAGAAUCCAACGACUCUCUUUCUCCUCUCUCAAAUUAGAAACUAAAAAACAAGGAAAUUUUUUGUAUCAAAAUUGAAUUUUAGAAAACUAAAAGGACUAAAAAUUGAUCAUUUGAAAAGUAGGAGGACUAAAGUGAAUUUUUAAUGCCAAUUUUGAAACCCCAACCUAGUUUCAUUGCCCCUUUUCACUUUACUUCUCUUUCUUUCAAUUCUGCUACCAGUUAACAAAUUAGAAGUAAUUGCAUAUCAAUUUUGCAAUUGAAUGACUCAAUCGAGCAGAAAAAAUAUUUGAUGAUAAAAAAAAAAAAAUCAUUACUUGAAUCCACGGUGAAUUGUGAAGAGAGUGCACUUUAUUUUCACCCCACCUCUUAGUUCUUUACUAGCUAUAGGGCCGUGCUAGGUUGCCGGCUGCACUUAUUUUUUUUGCAUCAAAAAAAUAUUGAAGUUAUGAGAAAAAUUUUGGUGGCCAAUGCGUUAUUAUUGUAAUCUCUUGGCCUGUCUCCUUGCUUAUAUUUAAUAAAACUAAAUAAAAUAUAAUAAAAUGAGUAUCUCAUACUUAUAUUUAAUUAAUCAAUUUAAUUUAAUUAAAAAAUAAAAUAUCUUUUUUAAAAAAACUAAUUUUAACAAAGAACGAUAAAUAAAAAGACUCGAUAUAACCCAAGUUAUUUUUAAAAUUAUUAAAAAAUCAUUUAGAAAUAAAAUAAAAAAUAAUUAUGGAGCCUAGUCUCCAAUUAAAUAAAUGUUGAAGGAUGAAUCUAUUUUAAAUAAAAUAAAUAAUUAUUAAAACAAAAGGGACAAAUAUGAAGGAAAAAUAAAUUAAAAGACUACUUUGAGAAUUUGUAGAUAAAACUCCAUGCCUCCAUUUCCUUGGAAAAUCACAAUCAAACCCUAUUUUUUCUUUUCCUUGUUAUAUGCUUCAUCUCUUGCUUCUGUUUGUUAUACAAAAAGGAAAAAAAAGUAAAAUAACUCACAGUUCACAGUACAUGUCUGAUUUCUUUUAGUUUUUUUUUUCUAAUUUAAUAUAUAUAUGUGGAAAGCAAUAAAUGACAACGAUCAAAGAAUAAAAUAGUGGACAUGUACAUGGACAUCUUAAUUUUUUUUUAAAAAAAGUUGGUGAAAUAAAACUGGAAUUCUAUUGACAACACACGCCGUCUAGGAAUGGAUAAAUUGUUAAGCUAAUUCGAACACCACCUUUUAAAUUCAAUGUUUAGUAGCCGGUCACCGCUGCAAGCAAUGCUCAAAGAGUGCAACCACUUCUUAGCCGCUUUUAUUUUUAAUCAUAUUUAUAUUUGUAAAAUUACAAUAUUAUGUUUCUAUCAUUUGAUAAUAACAAAAAAUCCAAAGAAAAAUUCAAAAAUACUCCUAAAUGUAAGUUAAAGAAAAUUUUAUUUUAAAAUGAUUUAAAUCAUUUCACUAUGCUCGAGAAAUAAAAAAUACAAAAACAUCUAUGUAUACCGGUUUAAAAAGAUUUUGAUUCUAAAAGAUAAAAUAGUUAUUUUACUGUGCAUUAUAAUGCGAAAAUACUGAAUUUUCCCUUUUUAAUCUUAAAAUAACUAAUAUAUCCAUGUGAAAUUAUUGAAUUACCAUCUAUAACUAGUUAUUUAAAUUUGUUUGGGAAGAGGCAAAACACCGUGCUUUUUAGAGUAAUUUCUUAUAUCGUUGAAGUGUAGAUUUUGUUCUCUCUUAUCCACUGAUAGAUCCAUGGCAAUGAUGUGGGAACAAACAACAAGACUUGCUUAAAUGCAUGCACUUUGAAAGGUGGGAGACAUCUAUGAUGUCAGAUGUCAUUUUCUAUCAAUUUAAACCAAGAAUCAAUAACAGUAAAAGUUCUUCUUCCUGAGUAAACUUUGAUCGAGAGCCUCCGCUUUUCAAUUCUUCAUUUAUUUAUUUUUUUAAUCAGUUCCACUCUUUUAAGUUGUAACAUUGAUCAUGGCAUAUAUUCCACGGUUAACAGAGGCUUCAAAACAUUCUUCGCAGAUUAAAGCAAAUUUAAUAAAGAGCGAAUCAACAAAAAAGGUAAGAUUAAUUGAAUCAGUCAAUCCAUUAAUCAAUAGCUUAAAGAUUCAAACUCUCACUGUUUCAGGGUACAUGAACCGGUACCUAAGCCUGAAAAAUGUAUAUAAAUAAUGUAACUGAGAAAAAAAAUUAUAUCAGUUUAGUUUUGCUUCAAUUAAGCGAGUGUUUGUCAAUGUGGUUAGGUAUUAAAUUAAUAUUUUUUAAUAUUUUUGAAUUGUUUUGAUGUAAAAAUAAAUAUUAAUUUUUUUAAAAAAUAUUUUUUUAAUAUAUUUUUAAAUAAAAUACUUAAAAAAAACAAUUUACUUAGUAUAGAAGAAAUUUCUAUCUCAAUCUCAGAUGUCCCCGAAGUCAAAACCAUAGUGCAGAAUAAUUAGUUGCAAGGUAUGUGUCCAUUACUGUGACAAUUUCAUGAGUUCAAUCUUGAUACCCUCUCUAUCCAACCCCAUCAACCUCAAACCCUUUAUGCUGUUCACAUUAUAAACAAGCUAAAAUAAUAUUUUUCAAUGCUACCACGUCUUUUUUUGUUUGGGACGAUGAAAAAGAAAGACUUUUCAUCGUUUAUGGCUGGGAUCAAUGUACCUACGAUAUCGAUAAGGUAGGUGGCAAAUCAUAGUUUUUAUCUUAUUAAUUAAGGUUAAUUGUUUUUUUUUAUUUUUUUGUAUUCUUGUGAUUUACCAGUAGAAACGCGUAAAAAUUACUAAAAUAUGUUUGAUCAUGAAUCUAAUCGAUUGGAUUACCGGGAAGAGGUGAAUUAUGCACCGCCGCCUCUAAGAAUUUUUUUUAAUAUGCACGUGGACUAAUUAAAGAUUUGGAGCCACCAGUCACAACACGUCUCACUUUUCUUUGUAUAGAGGUGAUUAUCAGUCAAGUCAUGUUCAAAGAAUUAUAUUAGUCAAGUUCAAAAAUUUUUUUCUUCAAUUUGAUCCAAACUUGAAGAAUUAUAGCUCAAUUUAGAUUGUUCUAGAAAACCUUAGGAACACCCGUAGCGUUAUUCUACACUUCUCCAAUUUGUUUAAGUUGCGCUCAUAGAAUUGGCUUCGACUUCUUCUAUUUGAGGAUUUAAAAUUGUUUAUUUUUAUCUUCAUUUGAAUUAAAUUUUCUUAAGUUUUGUCUUCAGGAUUUUUUGUUUAGUUUAUGAAGCAGUUUUUGACUAGUAAUUAAGAUUCAAAUUGAAGAAUUGAAAAACAAAUGAAGAAAAAGACGAGAUAUGGCUGGAUUGGGCUGGCUCAGCACUCGAAGCUGUAUCUCUGAAUGAUCUUCGAUCGCCUCCUCGAGAAUUGAGAUUCCAUGCGCGGAAAACUUUUGGGCAUGGACAUCCAUACAAAGUUGACCACUAGCAGAAGCAGUGUUUUAUUUUAAUUCAAAUUGGGAUAACUUGUUCUGGAAAAGUAUACUAUCAUUUUAAAUUGAUGUGUUGAAGAAACAUUGUUAUAGAACCAAGGGAUUGGUAGGCAAAGGCUCGUUAAAUUCGAAAUCUUAAGUUCGAAUCUUGUUGUUGGUUCGGCGUAGAAGUUGCAUUAUCACAUUUCGGGGCAUAAAAUAAUUCAUGUUUAUGGGCUGGGUUUAAAGCCCAAAAUUGAUUAGACAUGCUUUCCAUGUUAGAAAAUUGGAAUUCGAUAACUCAUGAUGUGGAUGGCCAAAUUAAAUUGAUUUAUAUCAAUAGUAUAUUUGUGUGCAUAUGCAGAUAAGUUUUUUUUUUUUUUUUUUUUUUUUUUUUAAGAUAUGUAACCUCUAAUAAAUUUAUUGUUACACAACAUUUUAUAAAAUUGAUUGAGUUAUAUCGGCUUUAAUAAAUAAAAAAACAUGUUAAAAUAUUAACACACUAAUUAUUAUUUUAGAUUAUAGUUUUCCAGUUAAAAAAAAAAGAUUUUUGUUUGAGUAACAAACUCAACUCAAUCAUUUACAGAAUUAUUUUAAUUUAGUUCAUAUUACUAGACUAGCAUAUAUAUACAUUUUUUCUAAUAUCAGGGCAUAUUAUCUAAAUACAAAAAUAAAUGGUUUUGAUAUACUUUUUUCACAUGUAGAAGAUUUUAAUAUACAUUAAAUGUGAAAAAAAAAAGUUCAUAUACCAGAUUACAUGAGAAUCCACUAUUAUUGUUAAAAACCUCUUAUUCCGCUAAUUUAUAAUUUCUUAAGGUAUAUAUAAUAUUCGAAUGAUUUAUAUAAAAAUACGGAUCAAAUUAACUCUAAGAGGGUCAUAAACCACUGCGUAUAAUGUAUUGGGAAGUGGAGGUUCUAUUAUAUAUCCUAUCUUUAAGUUUUUAUUAGGCUUGUCUCACUACUUGGAAAGUUAGCUAUUAAACCAGGAGGCGGCUUCUCUACCCACAAAUAAUUAAUUUUGACUGUUUAUGAUCUAGGCUUCUUACUUUUUGAUUAUGUUCUUGGCUUCCUUGCGCCUUUAGAAGAUGAUGAUUAUGAAGUCUUUAUAUUUUAAAGUGACAACACAAUUUUGCUCGUUUAAAUAAACCUUCUAAUUUCUUUAUAGAAAAAAGUAUUUGGUCAUUCAAAUAUAUGUGAUAAAACAUUUUAUGCUCAUUCAGAAAAUUAUGUUCUAAUCUAACUUAGAUUCUUUUAGGCUCUCAAAUUACCAUAAAAAUACUUUAGUUUUGGAAAUGCUUUAAAAGUAGGUAGACUACAUCCUAGAACCACCUCGAAGGCUCAUGAGUCACGAGACUCACGACACAUAAUUAAAGAAUAUAUACAAUAAUCUUAUUUUUUUUUAUAAAAAAAUACUGGAUAGAGUUGGAUAUCUGAUGGAUGUAAAACAAUCUCUUUAAAUCCAAUUUUAAUUAUUUAGAAAAAAAAGAGGGGGUUAGAAAAACUUGUUGCAUGAAAAUUUUAUUCUUGCAACAAAUCAGAUUGAAGAGCCAUGGAUACAAAUAAAUUGAACCAAAAAAAUCUCACAAAAUGGACCAAAAGAAUCCCUCAAAGUGGACCUAAAAAAUCCUCUAAAAAAAGUCCAAAAAACACACAAAAAACAUGGGUUCGAGUAUGGCAACACGAGCCCAAGCAGGAUGUACGUCCACCCAUCAAAAGCAUUGGACGCAUACCUAUGCAGGGUGUAUGCCAUUACCUUUGGGGGUUACUAAUUGAUCAAAAUAAAAUAGAUCUAAAACCCCCCCUAAAGUGGACAAAAAAAAAAUCCAUUAAAAGAGGAAAAAAAACCCAAACAACACACAAUGAAUAUUGGAUCAAGUAAGUAGCCCGAGCCUAUGCAUCUAGUGCAUAGGCGCAUGGAUGGCCAAUAUAUAGGCGCCAUGUAAGGCGUACGCCCAUGCAGUGCACUGGGCGCAUACUUAUGCAAGGCAUAUGCCCAUUCAAUGCAUAGGCGUAUACUCACCUGGUGUUGGGCAUGCACCCUAACGUCCUCUUGGGCUUAAGUUAUCUCGCCUGAGCCUAGUGUGUUUGGAUCCUGACAACGUGUCAAGACCUACUUCACCUCUAAUAGGCUUGAUUACCUUGCCUAAACACAACACUCGUCAGAGAAUUUUUCCCGAACCCAAUGUGAGUCCCUCAAUAUUUAUACUAAUUCGAGACAUUAUUUUAAGUAGGAUAUAACUCAAAAUAUCAAAAAGGUAAAAUUACAUUUCACCCCCCUUUUAUUCACAAAAAAACAAGACUCAUGGGCUAUAAAUACCCAUGAACCCUUCAAGUACUACGUUCACAAUCUCUUCAUUCUUAAUAUUUUCAGCAUAUAUAUUUCCAGAGCUUGUCUCUUUAAAACAUCAUUGUACUUUCUCUCUCCAUAAAAUUAUUGAUUUUAUCAUUAGAGAGUCCUCACGUCUAUCAAAUAAGACCUUUUACAGGAACCAGCUACUGAUCAUCUGACUUACCAAACACCAACUACUAUUAUUACUACUACAGUUACCAGUCACCUAACUUACUAGGCACCACUUCCUACUACCACAAUUACAGGUUACCAUGACUUACCAGGCGUCACCCGCUAUUAGUUACCAGCCCUCUAAACUUUUCAUAUCAAGCCACACACCUGAACUAGAAAAAACAAAUCAGAUUAAUUAAAUUAAGAGAUCAACUAAUUAUCCGCUACGUACAUCAAUUUUAUUCCAAAAUAUUUUAAAUUAUAGGAAUUAACAAAGAGGCAAGAAUCAGAACCAUCAAAUUAAGUAACAUAUCUAUACAAAGAGAUUUAUUACACUUUUAAAAUUCCAUUAUAGGAAAAGUCCAACAAUCGAAUAUAUAUGUAGAUUGCUCGAUGCGAGAACCUUCCUAGAAGAUGGUAUGUUUUUUUUUUUUUUUAAUUCUUCUAUAAUUUUUAUUUUAUUUUAUUUUAUUUAAAAAAAAACUCUAAAUCUAGAUAUUGUCAAACCACGUUGUGGAAAAUUCAAACAUCUAUCGUCAGAUAGUACAUCAGCUCCGAAAUACAUAUAUAGGCAUUCACCAAAUAAUAUGACUCAAAUACGACCAUCUUUGUCAAGAACCAAAUUUGAAACAAGGGCAUGGAAGAGCCUGAUAAAGGGAAGGAAAAGGAAUUGAAAGGGAGAGAAGAGGUUCGAUACCGGGGUGUUCGAAGGAGACCUUGGGGAAAAUUUGCGGCGGAAAUACGAGACCCAUCAAGGCAGGGAGCAAGGUUAUGGUUAGGGACAUUUGAUACGGCAGAGGAGGCAGCUCGUGCUUAUGAUAGAGCUGCAUUUAGCAUGAGAGGUCAUCUUGCAAUCCUCAACUUUCCUAAUGAUUAUCUCUCUCAAGCGAUAGGAUCUUCUCCUCGUCGUCCACCAGUUUCAUCAUCUAGUAGUGAUGUUGGUGCAAGCGAGAGUUUUCAGAGGGGAAGCUCAUCAAGUGCCGGACAAGGAAAGCAAGUUAUCGAGUUUGAGUACUUGGAUGAUAAGAUUUUGGAGGAGCUUCUUGAAACAGAAGAGGAGAAGAAGAAACGGCAGCAAGAUUGAGUUUUAGUUUUUUCUGUGCCUGUUCCUUUCUUUUUUUGUUCUUGAUUUAAGCUUAUUCAAGAAUUUUUUCAAGAAAAAUCUCUAUGAUUUUCAUAUUAUUAGUUCUUACUUCCACAAGAUUAAUAAGAUUGUUAGGGAUCCAUGAGUUACCCAACUACUGGGGAGAAAUGGCGUGCCUAAAUUAGUUGACAACGAUAAAUUUGGUAUGGAACUCUUGAAAUUUACAUGUAAUGAUACCUUGCCCCUUUGACUCAAAAAUAUGUUGAGCUGCUCACUCGUUGCCCCUCUUCAGCCGAGGGAGAGAUCACCCAUGCAAUACGGACCUUUUUCUCACCAAUCCAGUAAAUGUAAUUUUAAUUCCUAAGCUCAUAGCCUUAGCUUCUUUUCGUUUUCAUUUUUUUUUAACAUCUUACAAAGUUAAGGAAUUGAAAUCCUACCAAAUCAAACCAAAACUGUAUGGUAUGAAGUAUUCUUAGCAGUUGGUUAGUUUGACGAAUAAAGAUCAAAUCUUGCUCAUAUUCUCUCUGUCUCAAAGUUAUUGUCGUAUACAUGUCCCAAAACUAUUGCGUGUUAUCAAAUAAUUAAACUAUUAAUUACUUGAUUUUACUAUUAUAUUUGUAAUUAUAACUUUCUAUUUGAAUUCUUUCAAUCCAUGUUUUGCGAGAUUGUAAAUGGACCGAGAGUGUGCGGCUCAUUCUGGACAUUUGAAUCAUGUGGAUGGGUUUUUCAAUUGGGAUUGGGACGAGUGGCUGCAUAUGAAUGUAUUCCAAGUUGCUUGCAUUGAAGACAGAAUCCUUGAAUUCACUUCUACCUGUUGGGUGAUCUGAUGUUCUCGUAAUAAGGAAGUUAUUCAAGGUAAACUUGCUUCAUCUUACUCCCAAUGCAGUCAAUUGAAAGAUCUCUUGAUAGCAUGUAAACAGCCAUUUGGAGAUGAUAGCGCGGGAACUUAUUCUCAACAACAAGGAUGGAUCUCUUGGGCUAAACCUCCACGAGGUUUUAUUAAGGUGAGUGCCGAUGGAAGUUCUUUGGUUAAUCUGGGCAAAGCUGGCAUGGUGGACCAUGGCUGAUCUAAUCCGAGGUGAAGAAGGCAAUUGGAUCAUGGGUGAUUUUGCUAUCCUUCGUACCAAAAAAAACCCAAUUUCUUUCUCUUAUUUAUAUUCAAAUACGGUAAUUUGAAAAUAAAUGAUAUUUUAUGCUAUUAAUUGCACUUUGGAUGAAAAAUUAAAUGAUAUUGAAACUUUGAGACGGAAGGAGUAUAUGAAAUGCAAAACUAAAGAGAAGAAGAGACAUUCCAAAUGUUUGGAAUCAUUUUUAUGGUACAAAACAUGCUUCACUAUAGCAGAGAAAAAUUAAACAUCAGAUCACCUAGGUUUACGAUUAUUGAGUUUUUCUUAACCACUGGUUAUCGAUCAAAUAGGCCAUGAAGAUUUCAAAAGCUUUUCAUCUUUUGCAUCCGGAUUUUCUUCACAUUUGGGUUCUGUGUGUUUCUCUCAUGUUCAACGCGAUGCAAACUAUAUAGCAGAUGGUUUUGCAAAACAAGGUAUGACAACUAUAAGUUGUGAAUGUGUUGCAUUGCUUUGAUCUUCAUUUACUCCAUAAUCAAUUCCUCCCUUCUCAUCUUGAGUUAUGUCAUUGAUGCUGUUUAGGUUGUUGGCUUAUUUGAUAGUAACUGCUAGUACAGAAGAAUUUAUAGCAUGGACAUAAAACUGUAUCAUAUGUUUAUGUGGUGUUCUAGUUAUGCAUUUUCUCUUGGUUUAUAAUAACUGCUGACCCAUAAAUUUGCAGAUUUGCUAAUCUGUAUUAAUUCCACUGUCAAUAAUUUAGUUUCUAUAUAAUGAAACCAGUGGUGAAAUUUAUAUAUAUUGAUGAAGGUCUGGUGUGUGAGAACGGAUAGCUCGUUGUUUUGCACUCCCACUGACGGCUGGAGAAGAGAGAGGGACAUAAGCCAAGUUUGUAUUAUGUUAGACAUCAGCCCAAGUAAAAAUUAAUGCAGAAUCCGAAUAAAGCAAAUCUCUUCUUCAUUAUAUCAAAUAUUAUCUAGAAUCUUUGUUCUUAGUUUUACGAUUCUAGAUAAUAUUUGAUAAAGUUGAUGUCUCUUCAAAUAAUUUAGUGUCUCCUUUCGCUCUUUAAUCGCAAAUCCUUUGUUUAGAUGUAGACGACAUGGGCACAAUGGUGGAUUGGUUUAUUUAAAUUUCAGUUUUUGGUUUAUUAACCAAAUAAUUUAGUGUCUCCUUUCGCUCUCUUUUCAAUUUCUUUUUAUAUAUUAAUCCAAUCCAACUUUAUGCAGAACAAAACUGUUUAUUUUCAUGCUCUUCAACUUGAACAGCAAUAAGUAAUGCCUAUGCACACGGCUAAUACCUAUUUGUUUGUUAUAAAGUAAUUUUUUUUUGUUUUAAAGGGUUUUUUUUAUAUAUAAAAAAUAUAUUCUUGUAAAAUAUAUUAUUUUUUAAUAUUUAAUAAUAUCAUAAAAAUAAAAUAAAAAAUAUUUUUCAACGUUUCACUGUAUUAUGAAAAAUAAAUUGAAAAAUAAUAUUUUUAUAUUUUAAAAAACUAUUUAUCUAAUAUACAUAGAGCAUUACGUAAUCAUUUGACCACUUAUAAUAAAAAAAUAAAAAAGAGAUAUUAAAACUGUAAUGGUGGGGAAAAAUAAUUUAUUAUAUUAUAUAUAUAUAUAUAUAUAUAUAUAUUUAUAAUAGUUUAAAUACUACACACACACACGUGUGUGUAUUCAAUAUAAACAUUUUUUUUUUGAAAUAUUACAUUUUGAGUAGAGUUUUGACUAAUUAACUUUAUAAAAAUAGUGGAAUUUUUAUUUUUACUAAAUAUUUUUUUGGUGUUUAGAGAAUAUUGAAAAUAAGUUUUUUUUUCCAAUAAUAACCUAUUUUUACAGCAUAAUUUAAUGAUUCAAAAUGUAUAAUUAUUGUAUAAUAUAACGUGUUUUGUAUUAUAAUAUAUUUUCUAGCUAUAUUAUCUAAAUUAAAGUAUAAAAACACCAAAAUGUCAAAUUAAUAUAUUUUUAUAUUGUAUAUUAAUAUAUAAUAAUAUAUUAUUUCAUGUAUAAAUAUAUUAGUAAUUUAUUAUUUUCUAAAAAUAUUAUAUUUUAAAGUGUUUUAUUAAUGUCUUUACCACUUUAGUUCAGUUCUUAAGUACAUGUUUUCCACUUUCUAAUUAAAUUAUAAAACACUUUCUCGUUUUUCUGUGAUUAAAAAGUGAAUUUUAUUAACUUUUUUUUUUAAUGUUAAAAAACAUGAGGCAGUCAAGUCAAGAAAGUACUUUUCAAGACCAAAGAGAAUGCUUUCCAACAAGUAACAAGGCUUAGGUUGUGAAUGUGGAGGCAUCUCGAAUUUCUGCUUUGGGUUGCCACCUUUUUGAAGGUUAAGCUUGUUUUUCUUCUAGGCUUUUCGUAUGGGUAACUUACACUUACUAAGCUCGAUCUUUUGGCGUCACAUUAAUUUUUAUCUGGGCUGAGCAGUCUCUAAAUUUAGGACCUAUCGAGAAACAAAGAAAUAAACCACCGGAUAGGCCAGCGCUUCCAAGUUGGGAUUUUCUUAUUGUUUAAAUUUAAUCCGUGUUCUGAUUUUUGCUAAACUAUGUCCAAUACAAAAUUAUAACAACAAAAACCAUGGGAAUAUCACAGCAAUGGAUGCCUUCUAGAAGGCUAGGAAUAUUCCAACAAUGAUAUUUUCGAGGGACUGCUCAUGCUCAUCCCAUUUAUAAAAUGUAAUCAAAUUGAAACGAUAAAUACUCAGGCGCCGGCCCGUUGGGAAUUGGAAUAGACUAUAUAGCAAGCAAACUUUUGGCGAAUUGUCUGUCAUUCCAUGAUCAUUUAAUCAUGUACACCCACAGACAGAACUAUAUUGAUGUACAUGAUCAUUUAAUCAUCAACGUGAAAUAUGUUAUUCCAUGGUGAGAUCUUAUGCUAUGAUCUCCAGUCUCACAGCAGGUGAUUUAUAUAUAUAUAUAUAACAAAACCCUACUAAUGACCAUUACCACAAACAAUUUUUUUUUUUUUUUUUUGGUUUCUAAUUCCAUUCAGAAACAGAGCAAUGGGGUACUAUAUGGAUCCCCCACUGAUAUACUUACUCCUCAUGCCAUGAUAGCUGGUACAUGUCAGCUGCACAGUUUUACGUUUUCUUACUCCUUUUCUCUUCUUGCUCUAGCAGCUCCUCAAGCAACUUAUCAUCCAAGCAUUCGAACUCAAAAACUUCUUGUUGCGUUGAUGAUGAAGAGGAAGAAGAACCUGGAUAGCCUGAAGAGGAAAAGGGAGUAGAACUACUGGAACCAACGCUAGCAUUACCGGCCAUAUUUGGGUACUCGUUAGGAAAAUUGAGAACGGCCAAGUGCCCUCUCAUUGCAUAAGCUGCUCUGUCAUAGGCUCUUGCUGCCUCCUCCGCCGUGCUAAAAGUCCCCAGCCACACCCUCGCCCCUUGCCUGGCUGAAUCACGUAUCUCCGCAGCGAAUUUUCCCCAUGGCCUCUUCCUGACACCUCUGUACUUGACCUCUCCUCCUUCAUCCUUGCUCUUUGUUUUGUCCUCGUCCAUGAUCGAUGUUGGUUUUAUUUUUGUUUUGUUUUCGGUUUCCGUCUGUUUUUUGCAUGGCUAAUGUUUGCCUGGAAAUAGCUUUUAUAUGGGUGCCAAAAGCCAGGUUUGGCAGGGUUAGAAGGUCAACAACAUUUGUCCACGUGAAGAAAGUCUCAUGGUCAUACACUCAUACUUAUUCACACGUGUAAAUCAGAAAGAUCUACAUGGAGAGUUUUGGUCCAAUGUACCUAGAUGGUCAAGGUGAUGGCUUUGGAGCUUAGAACAACCUUUUCAGUGUUCUUUUAACUUUAUUAUGCUUGUUCGCGACUUGUUAAUUAUGAAAAAAUUAAAAUUAAAAAUUGGAAGGGGAUUCUGUUACGUUGAUCACAGGUUACAUAUGAACGAUGAGAUCAUUUGCAUCAUCGUUCUUCUCCUAUUUUAUUUAUCAUUAGUUAAUUUGAAUGCUUUUCUUUUUUUUUUCUUUUUUCUUUUUAGCUUUGAUUCCAUUGUUGAUUCUGACUAUAAAAUACAUGUUUCUGCAUUUCCAAGAUGAAUUCUUGUAUCUCUGUCAACAAAAAGAAUAAAAUAAUCCAUAUAUAUCAAAUCAAAUAUAAAUUUCUUACCAAUUUUAGGGUCUGUAUAGUUGUUGAUUUGAUUAAGAAGGUUAUUAAUGAGACAUAUGCGUGAUUUGCAAAGUAAAUAGCAAGGAACAGGACUUGGGUUUUAAUUUUGCAUUGUCUUAAGAAUCACAAGAAACCAAAUAAGAAGAAGAGAACGAUUGCAAUCAAGAACAAGAGACCUCAAAUAAAUAUGCGAUGUAAUAAUCAUUGUUAUAAAACUCUGCGUCAGCAAUUAUCUAAUUCAAGGCUCUAGUCAUGGUGGGAUGGGUCAUUCCAAAAUAAUAUUGUUAUAAUUUUUUUUAAAAAGUUAAAACAUCAUUUUGAAAAACAAUGGGUUUUGACCGAUUCCAGAGUUUACUUAGGCUCUAGUCAUGGUGGGAUGGGCUAACAUAAAAUCCGACCUGAAAUCUUUUAUCAAGUUCUAAAUUAACAAAUUGAUCUACCGGUACAUAUUAAAUUUAAUAACACGGCUAAUAAUGUCACUUUAUUGUUCUUGAUAUAUAACAAAACAACAUCAACUUUAUUUGCUUUUAAAUUGCAUGCUCUAAGUGUAAUGUCAUUGCAUUUUGGUGAGUUUCUUGCAUUUCUAUCUUCCAAUAGUGCUAGUUUGGUUUCAUGAGAAGAAGGGGGUGAUGCAAAUCAGGAAGAUGUCCCUUAAAACAUGGGGUCUACUGGUGGAUAAAGGACUUUUAUUAGAUAUAGAAUUUGUUUUGAAAGCACAUCUCAUUUAUGAUUAACUGUUUGUUAUUUCUUUCCUAGUUGGCUAUUUGUUUCCUUUGGCUGGACAGUUUAUUAGGGAUGAAAACAAAGAACAAAGUGUUUUUUUUUACAAGGAUAUUAGACUUGGAGUAAUUCCUAUUAUAAAGAGAUUUUGUGUUCUUUGUUUAUUCUUUUUGGAUCUAAAAGUGAGGUUGAACCAAGAGGUUUUGCAUCAUUUAGGUAUCAAAUCAUUCCAUGCCUGUAAUCUGUAGUGGUAACUUGUAUAAUAUGUCGAACAUUCACAUUCCUAACAACCCAAAUCAUGAGCGGGCCAAUCUACAACAACAAAUCACCCACAUCACUACUAUAUUGGAACAACUUUUUCACCAACUAGAUGUUAUGGAUAAGUGUUGGGCUUGAGAGGGACUUAGAUCUUCUAAUAGGAAGUGGCAUGGUCAAUUUCAUAAGGAUUCCCUUGAUGAAAAUAACAUGGAUGAUAAGGAGAAUUUAGAAGAUGAAGACAUCAGAGAGUUUGUGAAUUAUUAACCUCGAUUUCAAUAUAACAAAGAAAAGUUUCACUAAAACCAUGAUAGGCGUGGUUUGGAUUAUCAACUUUUUGAUGAACUCACUAAAAGGAUGAAGGUGGAUGUGCCUGACUUUGAUGGAAAAUUAGAGCCUAAUGCUUUUGAGGAUUGGUUAAUAGUCGUUGAAGAUUAUUUUGACUGGUUUGUUGUAUUGAAAGACUGUAAGGUUUGUUAUGCCAGAAUAAACUUGAAGGAGCAUGCACGAGCUUGGUGGGGAAGUAUGGAAGAACUAUUAUGCUUUACUCAGCAUCUACAAUUUCUAACUUGGAAGAGAUGAAGGAACAAAUGAAAGAAAAAUAUCUACCCAUGAUUAUGAGCAAAUGAUGUUUAAAAAAAUGUUACAACUGAGGCAAGCAUCUUUAAAUAUGGAUCAAUACACAGAUCGUUCCCAUUAGUUGACUAUUUAUAGCAGGAUUAUGAAAACUAAAUAGCAAAUAUUGGCUCAAUACCAUAAUGGAUUGUGUGUGAUCUACACAAGGAAAUGUUGAUUACAUGAUUAAUUAAUAUGGAAGAAGCAUAUCAACUAACAUUGUUUAUUAAGAAAUAAUUUGGGGUUUUGAGUGGAAAGAAAACAAUGUCAAUGGAUCUAAGACCGAGGUAUAUGGAAAACUUUUCAAUCCCGAAGCCAUCAUUACUGCAUAACAAACCAGGAAGUACAAUGAUGGGUGAUCAGAAGGGAAAAUUGAAAGUUAUAAGUGAAGGUCCACGGUGUUACAAAUGCAAGGGGUUCAAACACUAUGUUAUUGUUAGUUUUACUAUACAUAAGAAACUAACCUUUAUUUAUGAGAAAGAAUUGAUAAAAAUAAAAGAAGUAGAGGAAGAAGAAAAUGAAGGGUGUAUUGAUUAUGAUGAUGAGCAUUUAAGUGCAUCGAAACUACCUAGCUUUGUGAUCCAUGUAGUAUUGACUAGGACUAGAAAGGAAUUCAAAGCUAAUCCUGAGUGGCUAUGCACCAAUAUCUUUCAUACGUGUAUAGAACCUGGUGGUUGAGCAUUAAACAUCAUCAUUGAUAAUGGCAGUGACAUGAGUGUGAUCUUUGAAGCAACAAUGAAAUGUUUGGGCCUGCAAAGUAACAAGCACCCUACUUCUUAUCGAAUUAUUUGGAUCAAUGAGAAUAAUUUGAUCUUGGUGAAGCAUCGAUGUUUAGUGAAGUUUUCAUUGGGAGAGAAAUAUGUGGACGAGGCAUUGUGCAAUGUCAUUCCUAUUACUGUUUGCCACAUGUUAUUGGAAUGACUUUGACUUUAUAAUCAGAGGGUCUCUUAUGACAGGUAUACCACUAUUUACUUUUUUAAUUUUAAGGGUAAGGAGUUUGUUUUGGUUCCAUUGUAGAUUUCAAAAUUUGAGACAAUAAGAGACAUUGUUCUGGUAUUGAUCAUGCAUUGGUUUUCUUGAGCUCCAACUGAAGAGAAAAUUGUGAAGUUAAGCAAGAUGAUGGUUUAAUUUUCAUUGAGCUUGCAACAAUACUAAGGAAAUUCAAAGAUAUUAUGGCCGAUGAAAUACCACACUAACUUUCACCAAUGCGAGAUGUACAACAUGCUAUUGAUCUUAUUUUCGGGUCAUUCUUACCCAACCUACCACAUUACCGAAUAAGCUCAACAGAGAAUGAGAAACUUAACCGGUAAAUCCAAUAACUAUUGGAUAAGGUUUUCACUCGAGAAAGUUAUAGCCCCUGUAUUGUUCCAGUAUUGCUUACACUAAAAAAUGAUGGUAGCUGGAGGAGGUGUGUGGAUAAUCUAGCAAUUAAUAAGAUAACGAUGAAAUACCAAUUCCUCAUUUCUCAACUUGAUGACAUGUUGGACUUGUUAACAAUGAAAUACAUCUAUUUUUAUAAAGAUUGAUCUUCGCAGUGGAUAUCACCAAUUCAUAUAUGUCUUAGUGAUGAAUAAAAGACAGCCAUCAAAAUGAAUAAGGGAUUAUUCAAAUGGUUAGCCAUGCCCUUCAAAUUAACCGAUGCACUAGACACUUUCAUGUAUGAUAUAACACAAGUUCCCAAGCAUUUCCUGGAUAAAUAUGUCGUUGUGUAUUUCAAUGACAUUUUAAUUUUCAGCAACUAUCUGCAUGACCAUCUAGCCUAUAUUAAAUAGGUAUUGAAUAUUUUGAAAGCUGAACAACUUUACAUUAAUUACACCAAGUGCUCAUUCAUAAAAAAAAAAUAGUCUAUUUUUUUGCUUUAUCAUCUCUGAUUAGGGUGUUGAAGUUGAUCCCAUCAAAGUACAAGCUAUUCAAAAUUGGCCUACACCUCAAGAUUUCUCUUAGGUCGAAGCUUCCAUGGUUUAGCUACAUUUUAUUGACAGAUUAUUCAGGGUUUCAGCACUAUAAAGGCCUCAAUUACUGAGUGUUUGAAGGUCAAGAACUUCUCUUAGAGUACAACAGCCACCAAGGCUUUUAUUGAAAUUAAGAAGAAGAUAUGAGUGCAGCAGCCACCGAGUCUUUUAUUGAAAUUAAGAAGAAGAUAAGGCAAGCACCAAUUCUAAAAUUGUCGUGUUUUUUUAAGGUUUUUUAAGUGCCUUGUGAUACUUUACAUGUAGGAAUUGAGGGUGUUUUAAACCAAGAAGGUCAUCAUAUUGCUUUUUAUAGUGAAAAACUUAAUAACACUCAUCGGAAGUAUUCUACACAUGACAUGGAAUCUUAUGCUUUAAUUAAAACUAUUAAGCAUUAACGUCCCUACUUAAUCCAUAAAGAGUUUAUUCUUUCUAAAUUAGUAAUUAAAGGGAAAGAAUCAAAGUUGUCAACUUGAACUGCAAUUAAUGGUUAAAGGGAUUGAGUUUUUUAGCAAGGUAAAUGCCAGAAUUGCUCUCUUUUUACCCUCCUCUGAACAACCCCUGCCCUCUCUCUAAUAUAUAUUUGAGCGGUGAAAAGCACAACGCAAAGACCCUUCUUUCUCCUCUCUUGUUUUUUCUUUUUCAAUAAUCCUAUAUUUGGUUAUAAAUAUAAUAUCUUUGAGAGUCCAAAUAGUUAUGAAUUUAGAUUCAUAUAAUUUAAAAGUCAUCGUUAAUUAAUUUGUUUGAUUUUUUGCCCUCAUCAUUGAGGUUUUUUGUUUUUUUAUUUAUGUCUACAAUGUUGUUCAAGAAUCCAUGAUGAGUCACGUAACAAAUUUAUAAUUAUCUCUUUAGAGUUAUAAUUAUCUCUUUAGAGGGAGACAUUGGUAUAUGAUAGUAAUCCUAACUUUUUGAAUUAUUAUUACUGAGACCUGGCGGUUAUUAAAAUUACAUUUUCUUAUUAAAAAAAGCUUGAAAUUUUAUUUUAUUUGCCAUAAAAAAAUAAGUAGCAUGAUGAUUGAUGGUGGCAUACGAUGAAAUGCAAGACCAAAACAUCCAAGACUUUAACUGGGUGGUUUAGUUAGGCGAUGUGUUAACCUAUGAAUAAUAAAACGUAGGUGUCAUGAAUUUAAAUUCUUAACCUUUCAUGAAAGAAUAAUUAUCUGAGAAUUUUGUUUAUAUUACAUUAGUGUAGGUAAUUAUCAUGAUGUUAUUCUUUCUUUUAUAUGCUGGUCUUGUGGGUCCACACCACUCCAUUUUUUUCUAGAGAUAAAUAAUUAAAUCCACACUAUGUGCGUUCGGAAGGGGAAAGAAAAAAAAGAGAAGAAAAAAGGGGAAAGAAUUGGAAUUUUGCUUGCUGAUGCCAAAAAGUUGUCGCCUAGCAAGCUAGGGCACUUGUUAAACCUCUAGAGUCUAGGGUGGUAUUAACAAGAAAGCAUCUUGCUAUAUUUGAAAAAGAUCAUUCGUGCAUGUAUCAUGGCUCUGCAGCUGGGUUCAUCAUCUUUGCCCAUCUAACAACAAUUUUGAUGAUUUUGUGAUCCAUUGCAUGGAACCGAAUCAAUAAAUAAAUCAAAACGAUCGAUUCUGUGCAGAAGGAAUUCGCAGAUCUUCCUUUUGCUUUCAUGUUAUGAUUAUUGUUAUAUAAUAUGUAGAGGAACUUCAACCGGGGCUGCACCUCGGCAAGACUUCGUGUUCCCUUUAACAAGUGCUUCUGAAUUUGUAUGAUUCUCUGGCAACAUAAUAAUCUUGACUUUCCAAGCUACCACUAAUUUAUGGCUUUAAAUAGAGACACAGUCAGUCCUAUCAAGGAACUCCAACAUAUUAGUGAUUGUAAGAACCAAAUUUAACAGGUUCAAUGGAUGCAGAUAUCACUGUCAUUUUGUGAAAAUGAGUUCAAUGGAUGUAGAAAUUACUUGCAAAAUGUACGAUUUUCAGAAAGCAACGGUUUGGGCCGGAAGAUAUUUUGAUGAAAUCGAUCAAAAGUAGGUGAUCGAAGAAUCCGUGAUCGUAGGAAAAAAAAAAAAAAAAGUGUGAUUAAAAAAAAAGUGUGAUUAAAGAAUUCGAGUGUUUAUAUUUAUACUGGUUAUAGUUACGUUACACUUUCUUUGUUGCGGGAUGGAUAAAAAAUAAAAAAUAAAUAUACAAGCUUUUUAAUUUUUUUAAUUUUAAUUAUAGAUUAUAAAAUCUAUGAGAAUUAUUUGUAUUAAUAAAUAUAAAAAAUAAAGUGUUAACAUGUUUAUUUAAUUCAUUUAAUUGCAGGUCGAAUAUUUUUUUUAAAGCAAAAUAAUUAAUAUAUAAGUGCUAUUAAUGUUUUUUUUUUAUAUUAAAAACAAAUAUAACUGCAAAUCAUAAAGUUCACACUUACAUAUAAUAAAGAUCAUAUAUAUUAAUAAAAAUAUAUAAGAUCUCAAGUUAAUUUUUAACAUAGCUAAAAAAUAAAAUAAUGUUGCAAUUGCUAUAAUGAAACACAAUUUUCUUAAUCCAUGUGGACUAAAUUUUCAAAAACAAAACGUGUAAAGAAAAAAACAUUAAAAAACAAAUUACAAAAGAAUAAAAAAAAUGAACAAAAAUACAAUAUUUUUUCCAAAAGAAAUGAAAAACUAAAAAAAAACAUUAAAAUCAUGAACACAAUUUUCUUAGUCCAUGUAGACUAAAUUUCCAAAAAUAAAGCGUGUAAAGAAAAAAAUAUUAAAAAACAAAUUAUGAAAGAAUAAAAAUAAUAAAUAAAAAAACAAUAUUUUUUCCAAAAAAAUAAAAAACUAAAAAAACAUUAAAAUCAUGAAUUUGACAUCCAGGUCAUAAUUUGUUUUUUUUUAAUUAUAAAGUAUGGAGGUUGCUCCGAUAUUGUUUUUACAUAAAAAAUUAAAAGUGUUAUUUGAAAAGUCUAUGUAAUCAUUUAACUAAAUAAAUCAAUAAUCAUUUAUAUAAAUAAAAAAAUUAUUAGCAAUAACCAAGAAAGAAUUUCAACCAAUGUCCUCAACCUUUGGUUCAAAGGUCGUAUGGUAAUUUUAAUUUUAUCAUGAACAAUUGAAUUACACAGAUAUCUUUACUAUACAAAUUUGUUAGCAUUGGUUUCAAGAGCUUGAUUAUCAUUUCCUAAUAAUUUUUUUGUUAUUGUUAUUUAGUUCUAAAGACAUUAUAUAUAUAUAUAUAUAUAACAAUUGAAUUACUCCAUUAAAAAGCUUGAUUUCUUAAUGGUCUUGGUUGUUUUUUUUCUUCUUAAAGUCAAUAUAGUAAUUACAUUGUUAUUAAAAAAAAUAAAAAAAUAGUGCUACCCCAAAUAUAGUAAUUACAUUGUUAUUAAAAAAAAUAAAAAAAUAGUGCUACCCUAAAUAAAUCAAAAAUGACAAAUUAAUAACGUGUAAAGAUCAUUUUACCUCUCAAUUAAAGCUUUAAUUUAAAUUAAAGGAUGGAAGGUAAAAAUAUAAUUUAACUAUAACUCAAUACACAUUUCACCAUAGACAAAAUCUAAUAAAGAAAUAAAAAACCAUGCGGCUUAUUAUUUUACAUAAUGUUAAUGUUAAUAAUUAAUGUUAAUAGGUGGUCUUGAAAACACGUGAAAAUCCAGCAAGUCUACAAUUCAUUGUCUCUUUCCGAGAAUCUGUUAAUAAUAUAUAAUUUUAGAGUAACAGGAAUUCAAGUGUUCAGAUUCCGGGCCAUAUGUGAAACAGAACAAACAUCGAGCCCAUUAACAGUUCUUCACUUAAAAGAGCAUGGGCUGAUGGACAGCACCUAUUUGGGUUUUAAACAUCUCGAUCUGCUUUUCUGAGUCUCUCGGAGUCUACGCGACUCUGGCUCUGGUGUCCGAAAACUUUCCUUGACCACGUACUGGCAAUAAUCUUGAUUUUGGGUUAUGCUUUCGAUUGCUCUCUACCGGUAAAGAAAAUACGAUACCUCACCUCAGUACCAUAGAACAGGGGAACAUCGGCAUUAAUUCAAUAAAGAACUAAUUGAUCUAGAAAAUGUUGCUAGUUAUAGGCUAAGAUUGGGAUCAUUGUUAAAAGUGAUAAAAGAAAUUGAUGGAUUUUCCUUAAUAGGUUUAAAAACUGAUACAAUCGGGUUAAAUAAUCAUCACUGGUAAGUUUUUAUGAACUCAAUAAUAAUAAAAAAUGAACGGCGUGUGAAUUUCAAGCAAAGAGUUUGGAAGAUUAAAUAUAGAAACAGUAGAAGCCAUUGUACAAUUUUAAAGAAACUAAAGGAUGCUCGAAAAAUGUCACACCGCCUACUUAUUCCCUCCAAAAAUAAAUACACUGACUUGUUAUCAUUGUUAUUGUUUUGAGCUGGAGCUAGUCUCAGACUGCUACUUUGUUCUGCGUCAAAGAUUAACGGGACCAAAGGUUUCGAGCGAGGUAAUUAAACAGUGUACAAAUCUGCAGCAACCAAACUCCAAGCAGUUCUUCAGUGAAGCAAAAUUCCAAAACUCCAGCCACUAUAAAGCAUAUUCAGAUGAAUCACCAGCAGCUUCAAUAAAUACUAUAUCCACAAAGACAACUCGGUAUCAAAACCACAAUUCCUAGAUACAUCUUGUUUAGUAAGACCAGCAGCCACAUGAUUCACUUCGUGCAAGGUAAGUGAAAAGGUCACAGGGCUCAUGCGAGAAGAGAAACGAGCAGCAAGGAUGAAGAUUUUAUGAUAAUACCAUGACCUAAUUAUAGAUACAACUAACAGUUAUGCUUCAUUGAAGUCUUUGAUCCCUACAAGGAGGGAAAAAAGACCCAAAGCCAUUCAUUUAUGAUCAUGUACGUAGAACCAGCAGGACCAAGCUCAUAAAAAAAAUCCUUCCACAUUCCAAUUAAUUAUAUGCAUGCUUAUUUAUAAUGUUUUUUACAAAACAUGUUUAUAUCAAAAUUAUUAUUUUUUUUAUUUUCAUAUUGUUUUGAUGUGCUGAUCUCGAAAAUAAUUUUUUAAAAAAAUAAAAAAAUAUUAUUUUUAUAUAUUUUAAAAUAAAAAAUAUUUUGAAUCACAAUCAGACCACAAUCCCAAAGAUAACCUCAUACCUAUCAGUAAACUUCUCUAACAAGGUCAAAGAAAGAAAUUAAAUACAGUAGACUUCAAAUAAAAGAAUCAAAUUCAAAUCUCCUCAAUUUGUCAACUUUUGAAUUUUGACCGAGCAGUUGACUGAUCUGUGAUAUAUUAUACUCAUGCAAAAUGCAAGCAUUGCGUGGACGGCUUCUAUGUCUGCACGUGUAAUCACAUGCACUCCCAUCCUUCUGUGGUGAAAUUGGUAAACAGCAGAGAAAUUGCAGAACCGAAAGAAGGAGAAAUACUGGCACUGGCUGUGCUAUCAUUAACUUGUAAAAAAAUAUUCGGCUGCAGUCACGUGAUACAAACCCUGCAACGUAAGCUCCCACGUGAUAUGAUCCCCAGUUUUUGUCCAUGUUGGUAAACAAAUGGCAUUGUGUCUUUGGGCCACAUAAUUAGGAACACCAUUUUCAAGUCACAAGUGAAUGAGUGCAGUGUUGGUCAAUUUUAGAAGAAGAACAGAGCACAUGAAAAGUCCACUGACACAUGUAACUCCGUAUCUCUAUUCAGGAGAAAAGAAAAAGAAAAAAAAAACCUGACAAAUUGGUCGAACCUCACGUUGGAAAAACCAGGAUUUUUUUUUAAAAUGGUUAUUUCUCGUUUUGUUUCUUCAAUCUAAAACAGCUCCUCCAAGGGAAGUAAAUUUGCCAGUUGCUGCCUACUGUCAUGUGCCAUACGUUUUCUUUCUUAGUAUUGAUUCGUUUCUUUAUAUUUUUAAUAUAUUACAAUAGCCGGGCCUAUUUUAACUUAUUUUUUCUUUUUCUAUCCUAGAUAAUAUUCGAGAUUAUGGUAAUGGUUAUUUUUUAAAAAUAUUUUUUAUUUAUAAAUACAUUAAAAAAAAAUUAAAAAAAUUAUUUUUGACAUUAAUAUAACAAAAAAUUUAAAAUUAUAAAAAAAUUAAUUUAAAACAAAAAUAUUAAAAUAUUUUCAGAAACACGCCAAAACACGCCCUCUUGUUGUGAAUUGCAAGCAACAGACUUGUAGACCAAGGUUUUUCGGCUUCUAGACUUUGGACAUGGUGGAUGGAAUUAAUUAGUUUAGAAAUUACGGGAAAGAGCUCUCAGACAUGCUGAUAUAGUUACCCCAUCAUAGCAAGUAUGAAAAAAGAAUAUUAUGGUUGCAAAAUCUACUUAUAAUGCUUAAUGAGUAUCAAUUUUUAACAAAUUCUAAAAUAUAGUCUCAAUCUCAACCAAAAAACAAAUUACGCAGUGCUGAAUGCGCUUCUACUGUCACAACAAAGAGAGAAAUCCAUCAAUUCAUAUAAUAAAUUAAGAAAGCUAUAUAAGCUGCAUGAACCAAAAGAUUUGGCUCGAUCGGUUUUAAGUUAAUCUUAACUUUCUUAAUGGGAAGCUAACCAGUACUUUAGACACGAAUUUAAACUUUUGUUAUAAAAGCAGCUCCAUGAAGAUCGAUGCCUGUAAGUGAACAAGAAAGAAACACGAGAAGACUCAUAUUUGCGCAAGGUCUUAUCCACCCCCACCCACCGUCUAGUGUAAUCAUACCUGCCUGGCUACCAAGGGAAACAUUCUUCUCUUAAACAAACAUGAGACUUUCAUCGUUUGGUUGUCUAUAGAAACGUUCGGAGUGACAGCGAUGUGAAUGCAAGGUAGUCGAGAUUUCUUCGGCAGGGACUACAAACUUUGACUAUAGAAUUCACACUUUUUGAAAAUGGAGACUGGUUUUUUUCACACGCAAGCAUUGAAGUGUCGGUCCUGCUUUUAUUGGCGUUUGAUUUCUUGCACACAACGAUUUGACUUCUCUAGUUGCUAGUGAUAUCGGCCCUCUCAAACAAUUUAAUUGUUGACAAAAAGGCUUUUCCUUGGGACCCAUUUGAAAAUUAUAUGAUCCCCUCGGAUUCGAAUUAGAGCGGAGGGAAGAAUCUAAAAGGUAAUAUUUGGGACCCAAUGGAGUAAAUGCAAUAUAAGAUAUACGUGUAAUCCGUGUCUGUGUCUUGCAGUAGUCAAUGGAAGGUAAACAAUAGUGUUCAUGGUGGUGGCUUGCAUGUGGGCUUUUGGGACCUUUUGCUUUAAGAUGAUUGAUGAUGAUCGAGAAGGGAUGAAAAGUCAAAUCUCUUUGAAUAAUUACCAUCCAAAAAAGAAAGAAAAAAUAAUCAAAAGGAACGGGAGAAAGCUCAUGAACUGAGUUACUCGUUUAUUGGCUCAUUCAUUUAAAUAGAGUUGGUGUGAUUAGAUUUUGAGUUGAUAUAAUUAACCAAGUUCACUUGUUAGCUCAUCAAGAUAGGCAUGAUGAGAAUUCUAGCAAAAGAAAAACUGAAACAAAUGAUCUUGUUCCUAGCGGACAAUACAGUGAAGAGUAAUUAAUUAGUAUAGGAAUUAAUCAAUUGCAUAACUGACAAUAAAUAAUUAAUCUACAGUGAAUCAACGACUCGUCAACAGUAUUAAUCACUCGUAACAGCUCCCUAAAACGAUGUCAUCGUGCCAUUUUAUGAUACGUGUUAAACUGUCUCCUAAAUCUUGAAAGGAUUAACUUUCACUCGGUUGACGACAAGAAUAAAUAAAUAAAUAAAAUGAAAUCAGUUGAUAAAAAGAAAUGAAAACAAGGAUAGUUUCUUUCUUCUUCUUUUUCAGCUGUCUUCGAGGCCCUUCGGGGCAGUGGUGUAACCCAACUUUUAUGAAAUUUUAUAUUUUAUUUUAAAUUAAUUUUUUAAUAUUUUUAAAUCCGUUUUAAUAUUAAUAUGUUAAUGUCAAAAACAUUUUUUUUAAAAAAAUAUAUUAUUUUAAAAAAAUUAUAGUAAACACCCCAUUAUUACAGUAGAGUUUGAGCUGCAAGAUAACAAGACACCUGUGAAAGAAAUUAAUAGUAACAUUCGACAAGUGAAAACAGGGUUUUAGUCGCUUGACGAUCUUGAACAGAUUCAGAUGUGGCCGAAUGGUGCGGUGUAUAUUCAAUUUCAGCUGCAAGUUGAGACUUCAAAUCAGCUAUGGGCAUGAGUCUCAUCCCAAGAAAACAAUGUGCCAAUGGUGUUAUCAGGAGGGGGUCCCUUGCCAGUUUUACUUGGACGAACAUGUAGAGUCUAUCUUUAUAUGGUGGGCAGCCGCCCAGCCUAUGAAAUCUCCACUAUCAUCUUAUAUUAUAGUAUUAGAUAUAUUAAUUAGCCCUCCAUGGUCCAUACAUUGUGGUUACUAAAAACCAAUAGUGCAAUAAUCGAGACUCUCCCCAAUGGGAACCAGAGAGAAAUCCACCUACUACGUAUGCUUAGCUCAGACCUUCUGUCUUAAAAUAAAAUUUUAGUUUAGUAAUUUCAGGCAAAAUUUCAUUGAUUUUCAAGGCUUUCAUGUCCGCAUAUAGCACCUCCCCUCAUUUAUACCAUCUUGAUUUUCUCUCUCUUGUCUCUCUUCUCCACGUACUUGCAUCUCUCCUGAGACCCGCACAUAUUAAUGUCCCUUUUCAGAUCUUUCUUUCUCAAUAGUAACAAGCUGGCUUUCUCUCUUCCUUGGCUUUCCUUGGUUUGAAUUUUCGUCGGGUUUCGAGUUCAUAAAUUAAGGUCGGUUCAUUCUUGUUCUUAUACGAUAACUAAUUUGCAUGUUUCUGUGCAUUAUAUUCAAGAUCUAAACGAGCCAGUUGGUUUGCCAUUUCUGCUUAGCAAAUCCAUUUCAUGGAUCUUGUAAGAAAAAGCUAUGGUUCUCAGUCUCUUCCACCAAUGACAAGUCCAGUUGGUGGCUCAUCAAUAUUUGGACCUCGUACUCAGUCUUCAGAUACAAGUUUCCCAAUUAUUGCCAUUGCCAUAAUAGGAAUUUUGGCAACAGCUUUAUUGCUAGUUAGCUACUACAUCUUUGUCAUUAAAUGCUGUCUGAAUUGGCACCGCAUCGAUCUUCUAAGGCGAUUCUCCCUAUCAAGAAAUAGAAAUCACGAAGACCCUUUGAUGGCUUACUCUCCUUCUGCUAUAGAGUCUCGUGGACUUGACGAGUCAGUGAUAAGGUCAAUCCCAGUUUUCAAGUUCAAGAAAGAAGGCAACAACGUUAGAAACGUUGGAGAAAGAAGCUUCUGUGAAUGUGCAGUUUGCUUGAACGAGUUUCAAGAAGCUGAGAAACUAAGAAGGAUACCAAAUUGUAGCCAUGUUUUUCAUAUUGACUGCAUUGAUGUUUGGCUUCAAAGCAAUGCUAAUUGCCCACUUUGUAGAACAAGCAUUUCGAGCACCACAAGAUUCCCAAUUGAUCAUAUUAUUGCUCCAAGCUCUACACCCCAUGAUGCAAAUCCUUACAGUGAAAGUGUCAUGGGUGGAGAUGAAGAUUAUGUUGUCAUUGAGUUGAGUAAUCACAACUCUACAGAUCAAACAUUGCUUGCAGCACAGGAAAGAUUGAAUUCAGGAGAGUUAUCAGCGCGCUCAAUUAGUCCUUCGCCAAGGAAGAUAGAGCAGGGAGUUGGCCACAAGAAAGCAAGGAAUCUUAACAAGGUUACCAGCAUGGGAGAUGAAUGUAUUGAUACAAGAGGCAAAGAUGAUCAAUUCGGAUUGAUUCAACCCAUCAGGAGGUCCUUUUCAAUGGACUCGUCCGCAGAUCGGCAGCUCUAUUUAUCAAUUCAAGAGAUAGUGCAGCAGAGCAGGCAAGUUACUGAGGUCAGCUCUGUUGAAGGUUGUAGUGGUAGAGCCAGAAGAGCUUUCUUUUCUUUUGGUCAUGGUAGAGGAUCCAGAAGCUCAGUCUUACCUGUUUAUUUGGAGCAGUAAAGCCAAAAUAUUUUCCAUUGAUUAUUUUUCCUUGUAUUUUGUUUUUCAUUAUAAGGGUAUAGGGAUUUUAAUUAGAUUUAGACAUGUUAAAGGGCAUAGGAUUUGUGACAUAAAAGCAUUUAAUUGAAAUAUCGAUUUUUCAUUUUAUUCGACUCUUGGGUUAGUGCAAUUGCCUUCGGCCAGUUUUAGUUAAAGGGCUUAACAGCCAUGAUAAAUAUAUAAGUAUACUUGAUAAACAUAGAAUUUUUUUUUUUUUUGGUUGCUUUUCAUGCUUGAAUAUGAGCUACUGGUCUUGGCUUUAAGCAUUGGAACGGGAUUCACAUUACAGUAUCUGAGCUGAGAAUAGUAGCAAUAUGGAUUGUCUGAAGUCGAGGGAGAGCUCACACGAUAAUUUUAAAGGAAAAGGAACCUACAAAAGCAAGGGAGAGGUGGGAGGUCCCUUGCAUUGAUUUAGGAGUUAGCUGGAGAGGGUUUUCUUCAAUUGAGAUAAUCAUAGAGGGGUCAGACUCUUGGUGCUGGUGGAGGGAAAAAAUCACAAAAGAACAAGUAAAGAGGGAUUAUAGAAUUGCAAAAUUAAGGUCCCCUUCCACUGAUUUAGGAGGAAGAGAAGAGUCCUUUUCAAUUGAGAUAAUUAUGUCAAUAGUCGCCUACUUCUUGAGUCAUUUAUUAUAAUUCUAAUGUUGGUGGAGGAGGGAGGUACAGUGUUUGGUCAUUGUUCUUGCUGUUCCUCAACAGCACCUACUUCCAACCUGUAGGAAUCAUCCAUUAACGUUUAUGUUUCCAAUAACGUUAAACAAGUAUAGAGGUGAAUUGAUUUUUUUUUUAAAUGUUGAGAGGUUAGUUGAACAUUUGAAUGCAUAAGUGUACGGACCCUAGUCUUUGUUCAGCGUAUUUCUAGAUGUUUUCUGGAAGAGCAGCUCAUGCAUUCAUAUAUUCUGAAUAAUCAAGAUGAAUUUAAUACUCUUACAAAUCAUACUAGACUUAUAGACUUGUUCCUCCCUUUUAACAUCAUCUAACUGCAAGAUCUAAUCAAAUAACUAUCUCCUAAUAAGAAUAAAACUUCCAAGUAUAAAUUCGAAAAUGCAUGUACUAGUUUUAUCAUGUUCUUCACCAAAAUCCCGGUGUGGAAUAUCUUACUAAUAUAUUCAUGAAGUUAGUGGUUGAGGAUUUUUGGAAAGUAGCGGAGAAUCUUUCUGCACGAUUAGCAGUACUCUUCUUAAAUCAAAACGAUAAGAACAGCUGGAUUUUGAAGCUGUGCAUCAAAACUAAAGAUACAUAACAUUUGUACUCUUGAUUCGAAAUAUGAGACAGCAAUUUAAUACUUUGUUUGAACAAGCAAUUUAAUGUUGGGUUUUUUUCAGCCUUGGUAUUCAUAAGACAUAAGGAAGGCAAGAUCUUGGAGCAUAGAGAUAUGCAUAUGGAUUAUGAGUUGGAAAAUCAGAGCUUCCACGAGUCCAACCCAAAGGGACAAUGAAGAUGCAGAAAAUUCAAGGUAUACAUCAAAAACAUCAUCCAUGUCUCGAUAGUUGCAGAAAUGUGCGUAAUAUUCUAUAACCAGGGCCAUAUAUUGGUCCCCGAUCCCUCUGACAGUCUAACUACAAAACCCAUAACUUCAGUUCUUCUUUUGCUCUGGUUAUAUUAUCACCAGACACAACCACUGACCUGAUAGAUAUUACAACAACUGCGGCUCUUCUAUCUGAUGAUUCUGUGGCCUUCAAUUUUCCUAAGCCAUGUGCUUGCAUGUAUGGGCAGAGAUAGCAUAUCUGUGACACGCUUGAGGAACCCGUGGGAUGUUGGGAAAUCUAAUGAAAAUGAAAUUGCCAUUGCUUACAUCUAUCACCAUAAAACAAAAAAGAGUCAACCAAAGUAUCAAAACACAGAAUGAAAUUGCUUAGACCGAAAUUUAAUUAAUGGGCUUUUCUGAACGUUUGAACCGAGUCCGAUUUUUCUUUUUUUCCGUUGCAGACUGGUUUGGAAGAAGAGAAAAGUCCAUGAGAACAGAAUCAAAUCCACCUGGAUAGGAGGAGGCCCAGAAAUCUGGCUCAAUUCAACAACUAAAAUUUACAAGGACCAUUUUCAAUACAGGGAUUGACAUCCAAGAAUGACUUAGAGCCCAAAUCAUACAUAAAGAAGGGCCUAGCUUCAACAUUAGCUUCAGAUAUUAGAACGCAAAUCCAAAGAAAAAGUACUAAAUUAAAUUUAAAAAUAGAGUAAUAGUUGUUUUUUAAAGUAUUUUAUAUUUAAAAAUAUAUUAAAAUAAUAUAUUUUUUUAUGUUAAACAAACUCCUCCUAAUUCCUCAAAAUGUAGGACUGAAUAUAUAUUUUCAGAAAGAAUAAGGAUUAAUUAAUCAGAUUUAUUAAAUUAAUAGGACUAAUUUAUAACUCAAGAGAAAUUUUUUAGAACGCCAAUUAUUACCCUCCUUUUCCAUUUCCACUUUUGACAUUACAAGCGUCAUCUUAGAUCUGAUACAAAACCACUAACUUGCAAUAUGAGAAGUUCGCGAUCAGUUAGUUAGUAAAUUAUGUUGAUCAUUGUGCUCCUAGAUUCUAAGAAAUUAAGGAUUCUAAUUAAGCUUUCUGCAAGCUAUUGGCAAGGUAGUUUGCUUGCUUGAAAUAGUGCCUUAAGCUAGGUUAUUGAAGCAUUAAUUGUCCUAAUCUAAAAUUAAUUAAUUUGUCCAAAAUCUAAAUUAUAUCUUGCUAAAUCAUUGUAUUAUGACUUCAACCUUUUGACCACUAUCUUUGCUUCAUUUUGCUGUUAAAUGUGUUUCCUGUAAAUUAAGAUCACAGGUAAGGAUCAUUGACAUUUAAUGUAUACAGAUGGCAUUAGUGAGUGAUGAAAUCCGAUUCUAUUUUAUGAGCUUGAAGACUAAGUCGAGGUUGAGAUAAGAUUGUUAAUUGUUAAUUGAUAAUUUGAUCUAUUUUUUCUUGGUUAAAUGAUUGAUGAAUUAUGUUUAAUACAUGUACAAGGUCCUCUUAUUUGAAUUUAAAAACUUUUCAAUGAUUAAGUCAAUAUAAUAUUUGAGAAAUAUUUGAGAGAAAACAGUUCUUUUUUUAAAAAAAAAACCCUAAAAAUAUAACUUUGUCGUUCGUAUUAAAAAAAAAUCAAACUUGACCCACAAAGGUUACAUUAGUUUUUUUAUAUAGCUUCUAAGGUCUCCUUCUUCAUGAAAGGAGAAAAGGUACAUAUAUCAGCCAAAUAUAGGUCUUCUCACGAAAAAAUAUUUCUGAUUUCUUAGGAUAAAACAUCUCUAAUUGUAGGUCUGACGGUUUGCCAGACCCACAUAAGCCUAAGCUCAGCGCUUGGCAAAGCUCGAAGAUGGUGGAUCUAACGGUUCGUCAGACCCAUAUAAACUUGAGCUUAACACCUAGCUGAGCCCAGAGAUAAUGGGUCUGACGAUUUGUCAGGCUCAUAUGUCUAAACUCAACGCUUAGCUGAACCCGGAGAUAAUGAGUCUAGCAGUUUGACAGACUCACAAAUGCCUGAGCUCAACACUUGCUGAUCUUGUAGACGAUGGAUUAUUUAUUUAGAAGAAACAAAUCAAGAAAAAAAAAUGUUAAUCCAACAGUUAGGAUUCAAAUUCCUUUUCAUGCUCAGUUUAAUUGAUGCAACCCUCCUUGUUGCAACCCUCCUUGUUCAGUUCUGUAUCAUGUUCAUUUCGUUCUACGUGAACUUGCUUGGAUUGGAAGAGAAAAAAUAAUAAUUCUGUGGAAUUUUUGUGCAUGUGAGCAGUUUCUUGGCUUUUUUGUCCUGUUCUUUUCACAAGGCUUCAUAUAUUUUUAGCCCCUAUUGAAGCUUAGGUGGUAAGGGUGGGGUCAUAAUUGUUAGCUUAUAAAAUUUGGAUUUCGUCUUCUAUAAUUGAGGGGCUUACAUAUUUUAUGCAUUGCUUGUUGGUUUGUGGAUUAUUCGCACAAUCAAUCUCCUAUACUAUCUUUUCGUCUCUCUCUCUCUCUCUCUCUCUCAUGUUCAUUUUCCUUUGACUUACUGUUGUUAUCUACCAGAUCUUGCUUUUCAAAGAAGAAACAGGUGGCUACUGUAGAACGAGAAGUGGAUGGUGAUCUUGUGACUUUAUGUUUAGACUUACCUGCAGUGAUCACGCGAGUUCAUGUUCACUCAAUUGGUUUCACUUGUUCAUAUGACUGAGCUUAUAUUUACUCAUUAAGGUCUUUCCAAGAAUAUUGCUGAAGCAAGGGGAAAAUUGUAUAUCGGUCAGCUUAAAACCCUAGAAAAAAGACUAAUGGUAUGAUUUCCUAGUUAGAUUAAUUACGAAAAUGCUAAACCAUUCACAUAAAUUACAAUAACUCAACAUUAAAUGAUUGUUCAUAAGAUCAAAAGGACAAAAAUCUUCAUAUCUUAUUUAGCAGCAAGCAGCUGGGUGCUCUUGAGUUUGUCAGCUUUGACCCUCUUUUUUUUGCAUAAGGACGUGUGCUAGUAACUUGCAUAUUUGCACACCAUGAUGUUAUCAUUUUAGAGCCAGCACGCAUCAACUUUAAGAAUCUCAGUUUUUUUCUCCAUGCAUUUCGGUAAUGGAUUUGUGUUUUAACUCAAUUGAAUACUUAAAUAUUUUUAUAUAGUUUAUAUUAUGUUUAAUAUUAACUGGUUUGUUAUUCUUCAUUAGAAGAACGUGUAAUAUAAUUAAAACAUAACAUUCUUUAUAUAAAAUAAUUUAAUAAUUUCAAGUUUAAAGAUCAUUUAUAAAACCGUUACGUCAGCCUUCUAAUAAAUAUACGUGAUAUUUUCAUAUAAAAUUUUCAUGUCAGUUCAGUGUACAUGUUAUCUUACAAGUAUCUACAUAUUAAAGAUAAGUAUCCUUUAUACCUCAAUUUAUGAGAAUAGUUAUUUUUUUUUAUAAAAAAAACCAUAAUAUUAGUUCUAAGUAUUUCUUAUACCUCAAUUUAUAAAAAUAAUUAUUUUCUUUCAUAAAAAAAGAACAUAACAUGUAUUAGUUUCAACAACUUUAAUUAAUAUCUAGUCUUAAUAAAACAUUGACCAUAAAUAUUUAGAAACAAUGCUUUGAUAUAAUAGAUAUCUCAUAAUUAUUAUAACUUUUAUAAUUUUCUUUGCAAAAGUUUUUAUUUGAAGAACUUUAUUUUCACUCUAGAUUUAUUAAUUAAAUAUUUUAUAAGUAUUAAAGAUAAAUUAACUCUUUAUUAAAACUAAAUAUUUUUAGAUUGAAUAUAUAAUAUAUUAAAAUUAACUCAUAUCUCAAUUUAUGAGAAUAAUUAUUUUCUUUUAUAAAAGAAAAAACAUAAUAUGUCUUAAUUUCAACCAUUCUAAUUAAUAUUUAGUCCUAAUAAAAUAUUGAUCAUAAAUAUUUAGAAACAAUGCUUUGAUAUAAUAGGUAUCUCAUAAUUAUUAUAACUUUUAUAAAUUUUUUUGUAAAAGUUUUUAUUUGAAGAACUUCAUUUUCACUCUAGAUUUAUUAAUUAAAUAUUUUCACUCUAGAUUUAUUAAUUAAAUAUUUUAUAAGCAUUAAAGAUAAAUUAAUUCUUUAUUAAAAUUUAAUAUUUUUAGAUUGAAUAUAUAUAUAUAUAUAAUAACACAGUACUGAUUUGAGACUGAACCAACCAAUAAUGCAUGCAACACUGCCUAACGUCAUGAAAGCGAAAUCAAAGGUCAUCAAGAAGUACACUCAACAAAGAAUUGAACGUGGAAGUUAAGUCUGAUUUAGGCACUGUUUUUGCAGUUGAAAAGAGAUUUUGUAAAAAAAAAAAAAAUUAAAUUAAUUUUUUAUAUAUUUUUAGAUUUUAUAAACCAUUUACCCCUGCAGGUUGUUAAAGUCACGGCACCUCCCAAGAGAAAAGCAGGGGUCAUUGUUUCUUCUGUAGAUGAGUUGAUUGAUAAGCUAAGAAAUGAAGCUCAUGUCAUUUAAUUGCCUUUUGGAUUUCUAGUUGGUAAAUAACAUUGCACACAUUAAUGUAAAUUAUUUCUCAAGCUUAAUAAAUUCAAGCUUGGCGGGGCAAUUGGUUUUCGUUUCUGUUUUCUUCUUCUUUUUCUACUCUGCUGCUGUUCAUUGACUUUACACUGUAUUUUUGUUAGAAAUGGAGUUUCGAUUCAUUAAGCUGUGAUUUCUUUUUCCUUUUUUUAUAAAUGACAAAGGGGGGAGUGUAUGAUUUAAAAACUCAGCAGCUUCAUGCCAUGAUUCCAUUUUUCAUGCCAGCUUCAAGUGGUGAUUUCAGUAGUAGUUCCAUAGGAUGAAUAGAUGAGAAGCUGCUCCUCAUAUCUUGUUGGGGCCUCUCAGGAUUGAAUCAUGAACUGAUAGAGGGUGACUAGACACAGUAGUAGAUGAUGAAUAUAUUCAUCAUUCUUUUGAACGCCAUGGAUGCUUGCUUGUAUUUUCCAGCGAGUAUUCUCGCUGGUCUUUUCUGUUUUUGGCGAGUGGAAAAUAAUUAGUGCUAACCUGUAAAAGGAAUGGCUGGCUAUGAAAUGGGCUUAAUCAAAUGAGAUACAAGCCCAAACGUGCUAUCUUACAAUCACCUAAGGGUUUGAAAAUGUGUCUGUUUUUAUAUUAAAAACAUAUUUCAAAAUAUUUUAAUUUUUUUAUAAAUUUAUAUUAUAUUAAUUUGUUAGUGUUAAAAAUAAUUUACUUUUACAAAAAUUAUUUUCAUAUAUCUUUAAAUAAAAAUUAUUUUUUUUAAAAAAAUAUAUAUAUAUAUUUUUACUUAUUACGAAAGUAAAAAACGAAAAAAAGAGCGUGCGAAGAAGGGUUAUUAACUUUUAUUUUUUAGAAAUGAAUUAAUUAGAUUUUUCCCGUGGUCCAAAAAAGAACGCGGCGGCGCGCAAACAUAUAAUGACUGAUCCACGUGGUAUAAAUCUAGUGGGCUUUCACUAACCAUAGGUCCCCGACAUCAUUUACUCAAAUUCUAAUAGACUAGGAGUACAAUUUUUUCUUUUUACAUAAAAAAAACUCACAAUUUCUCCCUUCUUCUUCUUCUUCUCUUUGAUCGUCAAAUCCAAAAUCCAAUAAAAAAUUAAAAGAGAGAAAGAUGGAAGCAAUAGAUCAGAUUGAGGGGGACGAUAGUUACUUGGAUUAUCUGGAUAUUUUAUUGGGCCCCGCUGAUUCUCUCACCAACAGGUAUUUUUCUUCCAUUAAUUUUCUUCAUUUUUUACUUUUUUAUUUUAAUUUUGUUUUCUAUGUAAUUGAUUUUUCUUUAUCAUCAUUAGAACCGAUUGGGGCUUGCAUUUUAUGUAAAAAAAAAAAAAAAGAAAGAGAAAGGUAUUUGUGGUUCUUAUUCUUAUUAUGUGAAUAAAUCUCAUAGGGAUUUUGGCAGUGCUAAAAAGUUAAUAAUUUCUUUUGAAUUUUGCAGUUAAGGUAUAAAAUUUUAUAGAAAGGAGAUCUGUAGUAGCUUGAAUUUUAUGAUUAGCUGCCGUCUGAUGAUACUUUAUUGGGUUUUAGUAUUGUUGUUGUUAUUAUUAUUAUUAUUAUUAUUAUUACAGUAUUUGCAGCAGUGGUGGUGUUGUGGAUAUUGAUUUUUCAUCUAGUGUUGGUGUUGUUACACAAGUCAAAGAAUGCUCGCGGAAGAGGUAUUCUUUUUCUUGCUUUUUUGAAUUUUCAAACAUACUUGGUAUUGUUUUGUUUGUCGAAGCUGAAAACUUUGAAAUUGAAUGCAAUGCUUUUGAAUCGUUCAUAGAGCAUCUUUAUGUGUUUCACUAUUUACUGAUUUAUGCUUAACAAACUCAUCUUGAAUAGAUACUCCUUUUAUGUGACAUACAAGCAACUGUUAUAGCUAGACAAGUUCAGCUAAUGAAAUGAACACAGUUGGCGCUUCUUCUUUUUUUCUUCUUGGACUGCCGCAUUGAUAUCAUUGAGGGAGUUCCUUAAACUAUCUCAAUAAUGUAAAUAGACUGUUCUCGUGUCUAUGAUGAUCCCCU
This 54962-nucleotide long non-coding RNA is filed under the name Populus trichocarpa (black cottonwood). RNAcentral's name for it is "long non-coding RNA (PTRI_LNC002478)". The record is from RNAcentral. Lineage: Eukaryota; Viridiplantae; Streptophyta; Magnoliopsida; Malpighiales; Salicaceae.